GUCGGUUCCGGAUGGCCGGUGGCUGGACUUCAAUCUAGCUCUAUCAAGUCUUCUUUCUUGCUCUCUGUUGUUUGUUGCUGAUGGAGAUGAAGGGAUCUAACAUGGAAAUGAAGGGGGGACGACGACUACGGCGGUGACCAAACCAGGAUACUUGAAAAGUUGGAACAAGCCCAAGGGAAAAAAAAGGGGUUUUGCAUCUUAUCAAGUUCAGAUCUAUGGUAGGGAGUAUGCGCAGUUGGGAUGACAGUGAAAGUUGUCUACUAGAGGAUAAGGGAGGUAAUGAAAUGGAAUCUUUGGCCGGAAAAUUAAGGGAUUUUGUUGUUUGGGAGUAAGAGGGGGACAACUUGUUCGGUGAAAACUAAAGGGGAUCAUAAAUUGGUGCGAAAAUUAUUCUCUUGAAGGGUUCUGUGGCUAUAACAAGUGGAUCAGAGUAUGGUGCUUUUGUGGGGUUGAGAUUUAAGCUCAAAGUAAUAGCUUACUCGCCGAAAAUCUUUACGGUGGCGGCGAAAUUGGUUUUUACUUCGGGUGUAGCUGAAGCAGAAGAUGUGGCAACAUCUUAUUGGGUGUCAGAACUUUGGCAGAAGGGGUUGCUUUAUUUUGAAUUACUGGGUGGAGAUGCAGACACAUGGAUUUGGGAAUUUUCUUUUGACUGGUCAAAAGGAAAAACAAUUGAUUAGUAGAAACCUAAUGGGCUGGGUUUCACUAUUGGGGUAGGGAUUUAGUGUGUAGCACACUUUGGCCUAGUUUUAUGGGUUGGAUUAGAUGGGAUCAUUGGGAAAUAUUAUGUGAUCUUGGUGUAAUGGGAUGGGUUUGUGUGACCAUAUGAGUUGGAACUUGUAACUUCAUUUGGAUUAAUAAAAUUUUAACUUAUCAAAAAAAAAAAAAAAAAAAAACCGUUCAUUUUUACCAUUGAAUUUAAUAUUCUAUUUAAUAGGUCUAAAUAUAUUCAAAUGAGUUAAUUUUUUAUAUAGUAGAUCUUUAUAGUAAGAAGAUCAUAUCUACCAAAAAAAAUGUUAAUCCAAUAUGUACAAGUACCCUAAAUAGGAUUGAGUCAUAAUUGAGUCAAACAUUUUCUGAGUCUCUGGAACUCCUCUCUUGAUAAAAAACAUUCAGUAUUGAAAUACAUGGUGUCAUUGAAGUCUGGAGCAACAUUUUAUUUUAUGAAACAUUUUUUAAUAUUAAUUAAAUAAAAUAAGAAUUAUUAGCUAUUAGUCCCACUAAAACAUGUGUAAUGAGUCUUUGGUCCAAAAAUUAUGCUUAAUAAGUUUUUGUCCUAUACUGUUAGUUGAAUGAUUAUCAACCGCUUUGACCCGAGUCAACCUAUCUUGUUUUUCCUAUAAUACCCAAACUACCCAAACAAUUAUAGUUUCUUUUUGGGCUGGGGCCCAAUAAAAGUCCAGCAAUUACCCAAUAGAAAUCCAGCAAUGAUCAAUUUUGGGCCAUUCCUAAGAACACGUGCAGAGCACGUGCAAGCCCGCGGCGGGUUUUGAAAAUCCUGUGGAGUACAGUAGUAUCGGUCCUCCCGGCGCAUAAUAGCAAUUAGUAGUUCAUCACUUGGCUUAAUCAAGAUUUCAAAUUUCCCCACUAUUUAGAUCGAGAGAAACCAUCAGAUCAACCAUUCAAAAAGCACCUUCGUAAGCUUUCAACAAUGUCUUCUACGGAUGCAGAGUUCAAUCUCAGAGUAAGAAUGCUCUCUGUUUCUCUCUCUGUUUCUCUCUUUCUCCUCUCUUCUAAUAGCGAUUUUGAACUCAUUUCAGGCAUCUACACAGCCAGGAUUCGGAAUCAGGUGCAUGACUUUUUCUUCAAAUUUCUUAGGGUUUAUACUUAGAGAAGAAUGUCCAGUCUUAGGGUUUUGCUUAUUUGGUUUUGCAGUGAUUGUACAUUUGCUGAUGCUGGAAACCUAGAACAUUGUGCAAAGUAUUUGAAUCAAACUCUUGUUACUUUUGGAUUUCCAGCGUCUCUUGAUCUAUUCGCUAAUGAUCCGGUCUGGUUUCGUCUCUUGAUCUAUUCGUCUCUUGCUUUUCGUGACGUGAUGUUGCUCUUUUCUGAUAUGUUUUCCAUUAAUUAGGUUUCAAUUGCACGGACCUGCAAUUGUAUUUAUUCUUUGCUUCAACAGAGACAGAGAGACAUUGAGUUCAGAGAGUCUUCAAAUGAGCAGCGGCAGAGGUAGACCUACAUUAUUUAUUUGUGCUGCCUUUUCAAAAUAAACAAUUACUCUAAAGGAGACCACAUGGAAAUCUUUUGGUAAUUUUGAUUCACUUGAUAGAAAUCCUUACUUUUAAGUCACUGUGGAUCAUAUACUCUUCUGUAUACAAUAUUUGAAAACAAGGAAUAGGACAUGUGACAUGUCUGUUAUUACAUGUUUGUGUGCGAGAGGUGAUAAAUAUGACUGAAACGUUAAUAAAUAUAAAGGUAAUAUGCCAGCUGCUUGAUUUUUUUUGAGUGAAUUGGUUGGAGUGCUGAAAUUUGUGUUACUGUAUGUCUAUCUGUGCAAACAAUUUCCAUGCACAUGCUUUUAGAUGAUAUUUCGAUUAAGUUAUGUAGAGUGUAGACAUGUUUGAUGUGGAAUUUUGGGCAACUCACCUGAUAGAAGUCUUUACUUUUAAGUCGAACUCUGGAUUAUAUAUCGUGAAAACAUAGACUAGGACAUUGUCUGUUAUUACAUGUUUAUAUGCAGUGAAGAUUAAUAUGAUCGAAACAUUAAAAGGUACCAUGCCAGCUGCCUAAUUUUGUCUGAGUGAACUGGUUGGAUUGCUGGAAAAGAAACCUGUUUCUGUUUGUUAAUAUAACACAGUAUUUCUUAGCCAGUUAACACUUUGUGCUGAAGUUUGUUUAACUUUAUGUCUAUUUAAGUAAAGAAUUUUCUUGGACAUGCUGUUAGCUGAUAUUUGAUAUUUCAAUGAAGUUAUGUAUAUUGUUGACAUGUAUGAUCGCAAUUGUAAAUGAGGUGGGAUUUCUUAUUCUCAUUAUAACAUGUGUGAUCUUUAUGUCAUAGAUUAUCAUCUGACAUGUCAAGGUUAGAAGCCAAAGUUGAGAGGCUUGAGGCACAGUUAGCAGCAAAAGACCGCGAGUUGGCUACAUUGACCCGAACGGUCUGACUUCUGAAACAGUAGCUUAUAGUGUUUUCCCUGUAAAAUGUUAGAUGUAACUGGAGGAUUUUUUUUCUAUUGCUAGCUCUUUAUUAUUAUUCUAACAAAAUUUUAUUGGGCAGGAGGCUAAAGCUGCAGCAACAUUUAAGGCUCAGAUUGAAAAGCUACAGCAGGAGCGAGAAGAAUUUCAAAGGAUGGUUAUUGGUAAUCAGGUUUGGGCACUCUUCUUGUGUUCUUGUGUUUUCUUACUGUCAUUUUUCUCUGGAAUGGCUCCUGACAAUAGUCUGUAUGGACUAAUAAUCCAAUAGCAAGUGCGGACUCAACAAAUACAUGAGAUGAAGAAAAAAGAAAAGGAAUACAUUAAGUUGCAGGUAGACACCUCUAUCCCAAUCUUUUAUAGGUCUAGUAGAGUAAUUAUUCGCUUGAUGAUGUUAGUAAAAGUUGAUAAAAUCUUAGAUAAUAAGUUAAAAAUGGAAAUUCUCUGCUCUGCAGGAAAGGUUAAACCAAGUUUUGAUGGAGAAAAAGAAAGAAUCAAGGUCAGGCAUGGAGAUAAUGAAUUUGCUUCAGGUAAAAUAACAGCGUUGGUGAAUUUUUCGUAUUGAAAGUGUGUAAACUACAGUCACUGACGCUACUGGUACAUGUAGCAGAAAGAAGGGCGCCAACGUGGGACGUGGAAUGGAAAGAAGGCUGACAAUGACUUUUACAAGAUGAUUGUACGGAACAAUAAGAAUGAGAAUCUUAUUUGCAAUUAUAUUAUUUUUAAUGCACUAGGACAACUAUGUUUUAUUAUAUUUUUAUUGGUACUGCAGGUGGAUUCUUAUGAGGUGAACAAGCAAGAGCUCAUGGCGGAAAAUGCUGACUUGAAGGCAUUGUUACGUUCAAUGCAGGUGAUUUAUACGAAUGUUUUUUUGCUGUUUUUUUUUUGAAAGGUUAACGAUCAAUAUAUUAAUAAGAAAAAGAUACAAAUUACAAGGGGGUAAGGGAUGAGCUAUCCAUAUAACCAAACUUAACAAAAAAAGAACAUAAGACAACCAACAAGACUAAACCCCUAAUGUAUGCUUUACAAUUUGCGAGGCUUUAUCAGUGCAAUUUGAUGGAAGAGAUAUGAUAAGCCUAUAUUCAGUGUAGAAUAAACAAAGUAGAGUCUGGAAUUCAUGUUCUGGAAGUGAAUAAAAUAGUUCUGAUAUGGUAGUUCAAAAAAAUAUCUCUAAGUUAUGAAGCUGUCGUUAUCACUAAUGUUUGCAGUGCACUGAACAAAAGCCUUAUUGAAAUGAUGUUCAUAUUCUAUAUCUGAUAGGAGACAUGUUAGACGAUUCUUUCUAUCUCAUAGACAUUCAUGAACAUAUAUAUUAGGUGACUGUAGUUCCCAUUGUAUUACUUAUUUGAUUAUUUCUUCCGUCUUUUGGUUAAUUGUCAGUUUGUUACCUUAUUUGUUUUGCUAUAUUGUUUCGAUUAAGCUUUUGUUUGGAUUUUGCAUGUGUCAUAUUUUCGUCCAAUUUUUUUUUUUUUAAUUGGAUGUACACAGUAUUAGAAGAAUUGUGACAUCCAGUGGUGAAUUACAGAAUUUACAUAUUUGUUUACUGGCUGAGUGAUGGUUUAUUUCUAUCCUACUCUACAUAACGGCAUUCCUGAUAUAUUCUGCCCACUGAGAGAGGAAACUAUGAUGAAAGAAUGAUCAAGCAGGCUUAUAGGAUCCAAGUGCUUUUCAUUGGAACGUUCGCAGGGUGUACUCACUCAUGAAGUGAUGCAUCCAUCUCCAUUAUCUUUAAUUAAGAAUUGAUAAUCUUCGUUAAGCCAUUUAUAUGGUUCACUUAUUGGGAUUUAGUUAUUGAGAACAUUUAAGUUGCACACACACACACAUACUUAAAAUUUAUCAUCAUUCGUCCAACAGUAGCAGAUUAUUGGAAAAUGAAGCUCUUGCUGAUUAGGCAUUUUUUUUAGUUCUUUAUCAAGCUUCUUUUGUGGCCUUUAACACUUCUAUGCAUUCAUGUUCAUGAUUAUGUUCGGUGCCAAGUCAUAUUUUGUUAGUCUGCAUGUAAAAAUUAUUGUUCUUAAUUUUCUAUCUGAUUUGAUUCAUUUAAUCUUUAGUCUUAUUAUUCUGCAGAUGGAUAUGCGCGAGUUUUUAAAUGCUCCAAAUGGACUAUCCAAACCAACGGUGCCUUUAAAUGAAAGACUUGAUGCAGACCCUCCACAGUCUCCGUUGGGUGGUAAGACGGUAAUGGUCCAUUCACACGCUUAAAAAUUUGAAUUGGUCAUUUAAAAAGAUGUUUUCAUUUGUUUGACUUUGAGAAUGCGUUUCUACUUGCAGGAUGUCUUUGAUCUUCCUUUUCACAUGGCUAGGGAUCAAAUAGAAGAGAGUCUUCGAACUAAGAUGGCUUCUAUAAAGGUGACUUUUAACAACUUUUGCAAAUCCUUGUUGUGGCAUUUCCAGGAAUGGAAUUUGGCUUAUUAUUUGAAUUAACUGUAAGGUUAUUAUUAAUUUGUUUUAGUUCCUAACUAUUCAUUAUGAUUGGAAGGAGCGGAUGGUUCAACUACAAGAUGCACAAAAAGGAGCAGAGGUUACUUCUGAAGCAACUGAAAGGGAGCUUGAACUUGAAGCCCAACUAGUUGAAGCGAGGAGCAUCAUCCAGGAGCAGGUAUGAUCUUUUCUUGUUAUAUUGGUAUAUAGCAUUACUGUAGAAUGUUUAUUCUAGUUCCAACUAUUUGAGACGAGGAACAAUUGAACAAGUUCAUUUACCAAGUGAAAAAAUGUUCUGUAUAUGCUGUAAAAGGUGCAGGCACUGACUAUAUGCUUAUGUCAGAUUAAGUAGUCUUGCUAGGAUCUUUGUCUUGCUUUUGCCUUCUGUUUUGUUCUCUUUGUUCGAUGAUUGAUACGAUCAGGAAAGACCAUUUAAAAAAAGUGUAUACUGUAAUUUGAAAAUUUAGAAAUAAGGGACUAUUUAUUAUGGGUAAAUACCAAAACCAGACUCGCUUUCAUGUUUAUACCAAAACCGGACAUGGUGUUUUUGUUUUGUGAAACCACUUGACGAGUUGACGUGUACUUUCAAAAUGGCAGUAUUACUCCCACAAAUAAUCCUGUGUGUAAAACAUUGUCCUUUUCUUACCCUGCAAACUGCAAUCAUUGUUGUAUUGAAAGGGACAGAGUACUCUCUCUCCCCAAAAUCUUUCCAGCUAUUAAUGGAUCUCAAGUCUCUUUGAAUUAUAAAAAGAUAUUGACGAUGUUGAAGAAGAAGAAUGAGUGCUCCAUAACUUGUUUCUUUCUUUUCAUGGUCUUUCUCUUUCACAAGAAAAAACUUCAGAAUACCCACUUCACAAGAUGACGACGCUGAAGCAGCUGCAACUGGUGAACCAGAGAGAUCAUCACUUUACUACUGUUUAGAUUUAUUAAUAAAAGCAGUUACAAACAACUCUCAUCUUCCUAAUUACUCUUGUCUAAAGGAUAAAACUCAUUAAUUAAGGUAAUUAAAAUUUCAUGUUCAGUUUUAACGCAUCCACACUCAUAAGAGCUAUUUUAUGUAAAUUCCUUUAAAUCAAAACGAGUCUUCUUCUCCAAUUCCUGAGAUAAAAGAGAGAUGAAUAUAGUGGGAAUAUGGGAGUGGUAGCUCUUUCAAUUAAUAGGAUGAUGUGUAAAGGUAUCAACAAGGGUUAUUUGAGUAAUUGUAACCAUUCUGUACUCUAGUGAAUAUCAGUGGGACCUACUGCACAGUGAGGAUAAAAUGUUAUUUUCCACGGUAUGAAAAGUCAAGGUAGUAUUGGAAGUCCGGUUAUGGUAUAAACAUGAAAACGAAUCCGGUUUUGGUAUCUACCCUUUAUUUAUUUCUAGAUUUAGGGACAAAUAUAUUUGGACACUUUGAGUAAUAUCCACUUUAGAUGUUUAUGUCAUGCUAAAAGAAAGAGAAGCAACACCAGUGAGCAGUCAGCAGUAGAGCACCAGUUCUGGUGUAAAGAUUAACGAGACUAGGGUAAAACAGUAUAUAUACAUACACACACACACUAAACUGAAAAAUGGCUAGCCAUGGAUCUUUUUUUUUGGGUAAAGGCUAACUAUGGAUCUGUUUAGCUGUGGAUUAUAUUUUUAGCCUUGGUAUGUAGUACACAACCAUGAUGCUGUAUUUUGUCCUUAUUCAAAUUCAAUCUUCAUGCUCUUUAGAUUAAAGUUUCUUGAGACCUAAUACUAAAUUGAUUAACCUUUCAGCCACAUAAACCACUCGUCUAGUAAAAGUGGAAAAUUCCUAGAUGAUUAUGUUAUGUGUAUGUAUUACACAUAAGCUUAUGAAAUUUGCUUGAGCAAAAGUUUGGUGUUUAUUGAAGGAAGACUAGAAAGUACACCUCUCUUCAUGGAUACAUGAAGAAACAAUGUGGUCGCCUUUUGCUGUUCAGGGGUACUCCACAUUGUUUGAUGUAAAUCCAAAAGCAAAACAGAAAAACCAGUCUUCUCCGAAUAAAACACAUGACCUCUCUUAACAUUCCAAUUUUGUUAAAGAGUGUAUUUGGAUGUGGAUUCCGCGGCAUUUUAUCUAGAUUGAUAGACUGAUUUCAAGUGAAGUGAUUAAAGUGGAUUGGCUCACAGGUUCCCCACUCCGCUUUUGCUUCUCGUGAGGGGAACAGAGCGCUUUUGCCCCACUAGCUUGUGCCCGAAGGCUUAGUGCUCACUUUCUUCUCUCAACAUUCCAAUUACGUUACUAUUUCAGUUUCAUUUGACAAGAAACUAGAGUCCAUUCAACUUAAUGUUCUCUUUGCCACGCUGGUCAACUCUUAAAAUUUAGAAUUUAAAGUCGAGUUUUCUAACUAUAUAGGAGAGAUUUCACAUGAGAGGUUCCAGCAUAUAAACGUUUACAAUGAAGUUGGGAUACAGUAAUGUUUUUUGAGUAUCCAUAUAAGGCAUGUUUCAUGUACCACUUAAAUGGUUUGAUUGAGAUCACUAUAAACCUCUGUAAAUAGUAACGUAUCAACUUAAUUUUUCUAGGUCUAGAGACCAUCAUGUUUAGACUUGUUACUGUUUAAACUGCAAAAUCUUGACUUCUUCUGCAGGGUAUAGAUACCGUUUCAGUGGAAAUAUAUACAUAUUGUCCAUCAUCAUAUCCUCAAUAUUUGCAUGACUUACUUUUCGAACUUUCUUCUAAAUCACAUAUGUAGCCUGGAGAUUAUAAAAAGUUAGGAAGAAUAACCAGAACUCCUUACUAGCCAUUUUGUAAAAUUUUAGGGUCUUCGUUUGAAAUUAAACACAGGUUUCUAUCCAGACGUCACUUGGAUUUACCUUCAGGAACCUAGGUACACAGGUUUACCUUUAGAGCGAGUAUCUUUAUGAGAACCCAUUGAAUGAUGGUUUGGAGAGAUCUCUCAAACUUAUUCCCACGUGCCUAACAUUUUGCAAUCUCCAAUAUGUGAUUUAGAGGUAUAAAUUUGCAGGUAUCCUUUGUAUUUAUUUUACAUUUAUCACAUGCUUUUUUAUCCAGACAUUCGUUCGGUUUACUUUUUAGAGACUUUGGUCCAAGAUCUUGAUGUCUUCCUAUAUUGCUGAAGUUGUCUGUUUUUUCCCACCAAUGCAAGUCACUGUUUUUUCUGACGUCUUUAUCUUUGGUUUAUUGAUUAUAUUACGUAUUUACUUUUAGAUGCAGGCAUCAAUAAUGUCCAAACAUCUUGCAAAGUCUGAGAGGCCGAGGUAGCCCCCCCUUCCCCCCCAAAAAAUAAAAUAAAAUAAAUAAUAAUCUUUGUUUGUUUCUUUAGUUAAACAAAUACCUUAUUUGUAACUUACAAUUUUUUGCAGGAGACUGAGCGGCCAUCUAGAUUCUGAGCUUUCAUCACCUGCCGAGGUAUCUUUCGUUUACUGUCUUGAAUUCUAUUUGUACCUUGUUACAGUUAUUAACUUGUAUCUAAAGGGCUGUUAGUAUAAAACUAUGUAAUAAAAUGACUUCUUUUAGUCUCACCUGUAAAACUUUUAAUAUUGUUCAUAUGUUGGUAGUGGUGUAUUUAUUUAUUUGUUUGUUUGUUCAGGGAGUCUAACGCAUUAUUUGCCCUGGUGCUUUUUGUGGUAAAUUGGCUAUCUAAAGGUGGUUAUAUGAAGCUGUAACAGAACAGAGAAGCCUGUCAACUGUUGUGAACAUACUCUGGAAGAGAAAUUGUAAACUCAAUAGUCAAAAUGAGAUAUUUAUUAGGAAAGAAGGCAUUUUAGAAUAUGUAAUUGUAGUGUGGAAUCUUUUGUUAAUCAUUUUGGUCAACUACUCCGCUGAAAAGUAGGUAAAAAAAAAACCAUACUUGUAGUUGUAUCAAUUAGUUUUCAACUUGAUAUCAUGAAAGAAGCAGUUUAACUUUUACUACUGAGCAAUGUUAAUGAAUAUGAAAACAUUUUGUUUUUCCAUUUUCUUAAAGUUGCUUGCUAACAAAGUAACAAGCAUGCUUCACUGGAGAAAUUGUAAACUCAAAAGCCUCAUGCCUGGUUUGGGUUUUGUCAGUUUUAUAUGAGAGAUACAUCAUACAAUCAUACAUAUGUUUCCAUAAAUGUUUCCAUAAAAAGUCAUCAUGUGCCCAUAGAAUAAUGGCCAAACACUAGAAUUUCACACUAGGAGGAGGAGGAUUCACCACCGCUUUUCGCAAAUGUUGGGUAGAGAGGAGAAGACCACCACCACCACCUCUUUUCACAAAUGUUAAGAUUUCAUACCUUCCAAAGCAAGAAUUUCCACUUUUUUUCCAUUGCAGCAAAGACGAUAACCUAUUAUCCUCCACGAAGCCUUGUCCUUUUUGGGAGUCUAGUAAAUUUUCUUCUAAUGAUUGAUUUAUGAGAUUUUGGAACUUAACCCCAUUUGAAAGUCGAAAUUUGUGUUACCCCAUUUGAAAAAAUAUAGCAGUUACCCCCCCAUUGGACGAAAAAAUAGCCGGUAUUACAAAAAUUAAUUUUUAAAUUUUCGUAAAAUAAAAUAUUUUGAUAAUACUAAAACUACCCUUCUUUAAACAUGCAAAUAAUAAACACAAUUAGUAACCCCCCACCCCCCACUGAAACAUACAUAAUUAACAAUACCUCCUAAAUCGAUAUGUAAAAAAAUUUGAGGGAGAAGAUAGAUUUUUAAGAAAAAAGAUGAAAUUUGUUUGAGAAAUUUGUUAAAUUUAAAGAACAUGAAUUUAUUUGAGAAAAGUUAGGCUUAUUUAUAAACUUUUGGGAAUUUUGGAUUUUUGGGGAAGACAACAAAGUUGACGGUUAGAUUAAGUACUAAAUAGAUAGAUAAGAUUAUGACACAUGUCAUUAUUAUCAGAAUAAAAAGAAUAUUUUUAGUAUUAUUAAAAUAUUUUAUUUUAAAAAAAAUUUAAAAAUUAAUUUUUGUAACACCGUGAAUUUUUUCCAUCCAAUAGGAGGGGGUUUAACUGCUAUAUUUUUUUAAAUGGUGUAACGCAAAUUUCGACUUUCAAAUCGGGGUAAGUGCCAAAAUCUCUUGAUUUAUUUAUUUUUCUUUCUGACAACAUGGUGCCCAGGCUACCUGAUCUGGUUAAAAAAAAUGUUGCAAACGUCUAUAUUUUAUCAGUCAGACAGCUGCAUGUGAUGUAUUAUAGCUCAUUGUUUGGUGAUCAUUUGCUUUACUUGCUACCAUCACUAUGGGUUUAUUUGGAAUUUUGGAUACGAAAAGUCUACUCAAAUAGAAAAUCAAAUUUUUUUUAGCUAUAUGUGCAUUUUUUUUAUAAAUAUGGGAAAGUCAAAUUACAAUUACACCCCAAAAUAUUUUUAGUAUAUAAUAUCGAUAUGGGGGUGUCUAAAAAACUGAGGCGCAGAAGAGAAAUCAAGGAGUGGUCUCAGUGGGUGGUUUGGGGGGCUUGAAGGAAUCAAGGAAUCAUCGUUAAGCUAAGCCAUUCAUAAAAAACCACUCCCUUCUCGGUUCUUCAUUCUACCAGAUCUGAUGGACUAUAUAUUGUUGAUUCUUCAUCAAAGGAAUACUUUAUUGGCACUGGCAGCUAGGGGUGGGCACGGUUCGGUUCGGAUCGGUUUUGGACAAAACUGUCAACCGAACACCUAGCAGGUGUUUUGCAAAAGUUUAAACUGAAACCGAACUUUUUUAUUUUUAAAACCGAACCGAACCGAACCGAAUAUUUUUAACUAAAACCGAAACAGAACCGAACAUAUAAUUAAGUUCGGUUAACCGAAUAAAACUGAACCGAACCAAAAAACUGAUAAUCUGAAAAAUCUGAAAAUCUGAAAUUGCCUAUUCAGUCAUAUUACAUCUAUCAGAAAUUCAGAAUAACACAAUUCAGUUUCUACAAAUGACAGCAUCACAUUAAGUUUACAAAAUCACAAGAGAAGUAGAGAUCAAAGCCAUUAGGCCACCAAGCAGAUUCUGCAACAGAUCUGCAGCAGUAACACAGGUCUUAGAACCUCACAAGUCACAAGCAGUGAUGAUCAACUGUAAAUGUCGACAAAAUUGUGACAGAUUCCAGAUUUCCAGAUUUCCUGCCCACCAACAGCACAGGUCUUAGAACCCCAGGUAAUAUCAUUGUGACAGAUUCCAGAUUUCCUGCCCACCAACAGCACAGUGUAUCAUAAGGUGGCUUACCUGCCCAAAACCAAAGCUGAUCACCAUAUAUUCUGAGCAUAUAUAUAUAUUUUCAUUUUAAAGAAAGCCUGGAAAUUGGCAGGAAAAAAAAAAAAAAACUAAUGGGAUGAAUACCCACUGUCAAGUUUAAUGUCCUAUUAAUCGCGAUAGAUUGGUAGUUUUUGUUGGUCCAAUAUAAUGUAUAAGUUAAAUUCCAAGCAAUUUAUUUUCUUUUGAUAUGUAUGUAACAGAGUUUUAAUUAAAAUUUACAUCAUGUAUUCUUCGAAUUUUUGUAUAAGCUUACUUAAAUAACAACUGCUCUAGUAAAAUUUGAUUGAUCAUCUGAUCUCCAACAGCAACAUAAAUCAAAGACAUACAUUUGGUUGACAAAGCAGAGUAAAACAAAGAGAUCAUAUAAAAUUUCAAGUUUGGUUGACAAAGCAGAGUAAAUCAAACAAUUGAUUUCAAGUUUCAAUUAAAAAUACAAGAGAUCAUAUAAAAUUUUGGAUUUUUAUGGAGAAUUGUUUACACAUACAAAAACAUCCAAUUUUUCCCCAAUACAAAAUCUAGGGUUUCUAAUAUGCAGAAAUGUGUCAAAUGUUUUAAGAGAAAUUAAACUCAUUUCUGCAUAUACUAUUGAAAAGAUAAUCACCUAGAUUUUGUAUUGGGGAAAAAUUGGAUGUUUUUGUAUGUGUAAACAAUUCUCCAUAAAAAUCCAAAAUUUUAUGUGAUCUCUUGUAUUUUUAAUUGAAACUUGAAAUCAAUUGUUUGAUUUACUCUGCUUUGUCAACCAAACUUGAAAUUUUAUAUGAUCUCUUUGUUUUACUCUGCUUUGUCAACCAAUACAAAAUCUAGGGUUUCUAACAAUCAACAUAUACUAUUGAAAAGAUAAGAUAAUACUGUAAAUAAAGAAGAAGAAGAAGAAGAAGAAGAAGAAGAAGAAGAAGAAGAUCGUACCUAAGAAAGAAAGAGUGUCUGUCUCGACUCUUGAGUGCUGAAUGAUGUGAAGAAGAAGAGAAGAAUAAUGGAGUACAGGAGGCUGAUUAGGGAUUGAAGAAGAAGAGGAGAUUUUGCAAGGGAUGAAUAGAUGGGCUAUUGGGCUGGACUAUGCUGGAGUGUUGGAUACUUGGAUAGACUCCUGGACUCCUGGACAGAUGGGUUGGACUAUGGAGAGAUGGGCUGGACUAGUGGGCUGUAUACAAAAUACAUGUUCGGUUCGGUUUUGGGUGUUCGGAAAUUUUUGAAACUGCAACCGAACACCCAAAGCAGGUGUUUUGCCAAAUUAGAAACUGCAACCGAACAUGGAAACAUGUAAACACCCUAUUUUCGGUUCGGACCGGUUCGGAUCGGUUCGGUUUACAUGUUUCGGAUCGGUUUUGCCCAGCCCUACUGGCAGCACAUAAUUCCCCCUAUUAUAUUCCAUAGGCUGCCGGUUUGUUUUCUGCAAGACAGAUGGAGCAAGUAAUUUUCAGCAGUGUGGCUAGUGAGUAUUGACACAUCAGCAGAGAAUACAGCUCAGCAGACAGUUGAUAACUGUAAUUAGUUAGGGAGAAAUAACAAAGAUUUACUCGUUUCAUUCUGUUCCUCUUCUUCUCUAAUUCAACAGUGAGGUGGUGCGUUUAUUAAACAAAAGUGGUGCCGUGGAGUUUAAUCAACAAGAAAUGAAGUUCGACGGUCAUAGAAUUUUUGAUCCAGUUGAUCGAGUUAUAUGUGUAUGUUUUUUUUUUUGACAAGUAAGCUGGGGUUAGGCAGACCCCACCUGUAUUUCAAAUAAAAAAUGUUACACUCUUUCAUAGACUGAGUGUACGUUGCUAAUACAGUACUAGCCUUUAUGCUUGUUUUAGAGAGCCGGUAUUCAAACCCCACCAAUUGGUAAUCCCACCCCACCCAGGUUCAAUUAGUCGGUAUUCCCACCCCACCUGGUAAAUACACCCCCAUAAAUACUUAAUUUGAAAAUUAGAUUGAUUUUUCAGUUUUUCUUUCUUGUUUCACAAAAAGUUGAAGACUUGAGGCAGAAGAAGAAACACAAGUGGGAAAAAAAGUUUCUCCACUUUUAUUAUACAAGUUUGUUUAAGGUAUACAAGUUUAGGCUAAACCGCUAAACCGAAUGGUUUUGUCAUUUAGACUAAACUGUUUACGCUGCUGUGAGUGCUUUUUGUAGUAGUAUGGUAAAUUGAAAAGUCUCGUAUAAAAACUUCUAUACACAAAAACAAAAAUAAAAAUAGUUCAAUUCUCUAACUCAAUUGUUAAACAUGCCAACCUAUAAAAUAAAUGAGUGAAAACAUAAAAUAAUCACCUGACAUUAUGAUUCUUCUUCGCCUCCAGACCCAGUCACAUAUAUGGGAUGAGCUUCGAUUGCAUCAUUCGUUUGCAGUUUCUCCCCAAUGAUUGUCUUGUAAGUUUUUGCUCGUGUCUCAAUCAACAAAUCCCAUCCCACUGCUUCGGGUUGCUUAAAUUUUUCCCAAUAACUAACUGCACUAGGUAUAGGAAAAAAAUCCUUGAGUUUCACAUGUACAGAAUGUGCCAUCUCUUGUAUCAAGCAAAAACUAAUAACAUUAUACCCCAUAGGAGGUGGGGGCGCCGAAUGCAAUGACAAAAAAGUCAAACAAACUUUGCUCGAUAGGUGAACAAAGACUCGAUUAUAAAUACUUGCAAUAAAAUCCCCACAAUAGGGCAUUACAAUCCAAAACUUUGGUUCACAUGGACUUGUGAAAUGAUUUAUGAUCUUUCUCAAGGUAAUUACCGACAUAACUCCACCAGAUACCCUUUUGUACAACUCGCCGUAUAUAUCUAAUUCUGCAAUCAUGUCUUCUCUUACAAUAUGCCAUUUUUCCUCCUCACCCCAUAUAGCCAUAACAAUAGCUCGAAAACCACAAUUUCCAUCUGGCCGAGGGUUCUUAAUUUCACUCACAUAUGGUUUCAUAGGCUCAGGUAUAUACCCAAUGAAUUGACUAUAACAUGAUCCUUUACUUACUUGUUUUGAUCGAGUAUUUUGAGUUGCCUUCAUACCGACCUUUGCCUUUGCUUUCUUCCCACCACUUUCUUUCUUACCAAUGUUUGAUGUCUCGAUUGAUCCUGGUGUUGACAUUGUUAACUCAAAUGCAGAUGGAUUUCUCUCAGACCAUUCAUCAACUUUAUUUUUAAGCUUGUUUAAUGCUCCUUGUGGUCGACCUUUUGGUUUAGCUUUUUCAUUUUGCUCAGGCUCAGUUGCCCAGGUAGUCUUUGGGUUUCCAAGAUCCCUUAAACGUCGCAACAAGUUUUUUUUUUUUUGGAAAUCAUUGCACUUUCGAUAGUGAGAAUAGAAUAUUGCAAAUUCCUCAUGGCACUCAAGAUCAGAAAUGUCUACUCUCCGAGGAAUAGCACUAAGCUUCUUCCAAAAUGGAUGGAUCCCACUCAAUUGCAAUUUCUCGUUCUUCAACUCCUUAAUGUUCAUUUCAUGUGCACAAUGCAACCCGUGGGUUACCUUCUUGGUACAACCACAAAUACUUGGAUCGGUGAGAAUGUAUUCCUUCCUCUCACCCUCUUUAAGCAAUAUAUUCAAAGCAUCUCUCGAGACAUAUCCUCUUAAUUGAUCGAACAUAAUGAUUCUAUGUCCACGAGGAGCAACAUUCAAACUCCUCUCGAACGAAGCCUUUAUCUCUGUCAUUUGGGUAGUCAAAGAUGGAUGAAUCAUGUUGAACAUGGUGAGAAAUGUAUAACGACUUGUUCUCAAAAGUGAAUUCUUCAAGGCUGAAUGCGCACUUUCAACUCGAUUUGUGCUAUUGUUACCAAAGUGGAAAAAAUGAUCAGUCCAAGCAUAGACAAACUUCUCCUUAUAGGGCAUCUAUGUUUCUUGGAUGUAAGAAAACAACUGUGGGUACUCAUGGAAGAAAACUCGCAUCUGGUACAUACGACUCUCAAACUCGGAAAUUGACGCAGAGUGCACAAUAUUAGUCCAUGAAUCUGUGAGCUUGUUUCUUUUAUCCUCGUCCUCUAUCUCUACCCUUGCCUUUGAUUGCACCCCCAUACCAAUGUGCCAUUUGCAUGAUAUUUUAUUGGAAUCGGGAAAUAUAGCAUCCAAAGCUUUCAUUAAUGCCAAGUCUCUAUCUGUAACAAAAGUCUCUGGCACCAACUCAUCUAGCACAUCAAGUCUAAACCUUUUUAAUGCCCAAGUAAAAUUGCAAGUGUUCUCUUUUUUCAUCAAACAAUAUAUAACAAACAAAAAAUGUUUUCAUUGUUGAGGUAAUUCCCACAAUCUCAAGCAACGACCAUUUGUAGAGGUUUGUUUUGUAGGUCGAAUCCAUAAUAAAAACGUAUGAAAAACAUUUGGCUAGAGCAAUAGACUCUGGAUGUGCAAAAAACAAGAUAUUGAUGACAUUCAUCUCAUCUACCUCCUCAGAUACCACGUACCCUCGCUCACUUGCUAUAUUCUUCAAUUGUUGCAUGCUUAUUCUCUUUUCCAUUUCGCUAUAGAGCUUUUUUGCCUCAUUGUACAGUAUUUGCAACGUCGCACAAUUUCCAGGUUCAGUCUUUUCAAGAUAGCAAGUGCUUACUUAGGUUUGACCCCACCCAAUGACAUGUCUUGAAACCUAGCUUUUUCCUCUUGGGUUAGUCUCCCUACAAAAGAGUGGCCCUCCAUGUAUGUGGCCAAUGGGUGGUUGUGCCUUCCACAAUCAACAUUUACUGUCCAACUAUCAAUACUUCUAGAAAAAUAAACUCCUCUAAUUUUAAACGGGGAAUUUAUCUUUUUUGUCCCUGUAUUUUUUGCCAAUGUUUGGGUUGUUAUGAAUCCAAUUAUUAGAGUUAUCAAGAAUUGCCUCAAUCUUGUUGUGACAUCUAUGAAUUAGGGUUGUGAGAUGAAAGAAUUUUGUGUUUUUGUCACCUCCUUUAAUUAUUUGGUUACUUGACUUUUGUUUCUAAAAGGAUUCUUGUUUUUGAAGGGCAAUAUCCAGGAGAGAGAAGAUCUUUUUCUUUGAUUUUAUUUUUCUCAUUGUAAGGGAGAGUAUGGAUGGAAGUGAUUUUUGAUUUUAAGUUGUCCAUUUCUUUGAAGAUAUCACCAAAGACUUUUUUAUUCCAGAUCUUUAAAGUUUUCUUUGUUUGUUUGUGCUGGGGAAUAAGUUGGUCUUUUGCUUCACAAUGUUUUGCACUUUUCCAGGUAAAGUCCACAAGUUUUGUGUAAGAGGGGUCUCUUAGCCACAUGCUGUGGAAUUUGAAAGGUUUUGGUGACUUAUCUUGCAAGGGUUGGAGAGAAAGGAGGAUGGGACAAUGAUCAGAGGAGAUAGAUGGCAAGUGAGAUGGAGUUGUUUUAGGGAAAGCAAUUUUCCAUUCAGGAGAGACAACACAUCUAUCUAAUCUUUUUCUAAUGUUUUCAAUUCCUAUUUUUUUAUUACACCAUGUGAAUGGUUGACCAGAGAAACCUAGGUCCAGAAGCCCAAGACUUUGGACAAUGGUAUGGGCAAAGGCAUUUUCAUUUGUCUCAAAAGGUAGAUAUCCUUGUUUUUCAUUUUGAGAGAAGAUGAUGUUAAGAUCUCCUAUAACCAUCCAGGGAUGGUUAGAGUGCUUAUGAGAGUCAGAGAGGUUUUCCCAGCUUUGUUCCUUGAACUCAGGGUAUGGGCUGCCAUAAAAGAAAGAGAAGUUCCAUUUUUGAUGAGUUCUAGGGUCGUGGAUGGUAGUAUCUAUGAUGUGCUUAUUACUCAAGAUGAUUUGGAUGUUGAGGUUGGAGUUCCAGAGAAGAAGGAGACCAUCAGACCACCAUCCAUAUGGAGGGGACGAACCAGGUGAUGAUGAGUGAAUUUAAAGAUUUCUGAUGAGUCUCUGAGUAGCAGGGAUGUUUUCUUUUGUCUCAGAAAGGAAGAACACAUCAGGUUUAUGCUCUUUGGUUAAAUCUAUGAUUGAUCUGUAAGUGGGGUCAUUUCCACUUCGUCUAACAUUCCAAGAUAUUAUUUUAAAAUUACUAGGGGGGGGGGGGUGUGACAGUAGUGAUGUUGGAAGUGUGUGUAUCAGGUGUUAUAGAAGUUGUGAUGAGAGGAAAUGAUGUGAACUAAGUUACUCAAGUGUGUGAAGUUGUAAUCUAGGUGUUUGUGUGCAUUUCUGAUAUAUAUAGGUGGCAGUUAGGCAAGGUGUUAUUCUCAGUAUUUUUUGGUUUCAUGAGAGUAUUCCAUAACCAGAUGUUCCUGAGUAGUGUUUCAGACCAGAUUUUGUGCCAAUGAUGGUAAAUGUAGUUUCUUGAAAUACUGUAGUCAGGGUGCAUGGCUAGUUCUUCAGACCCAUGACAAGUAGUAAAGUGCAGCAUGUAAGUCGAUCAAAUGUGUGUUGAGCGUUGGUGGUAUAUAACAGUUUGGUAAAGGUGAAACAUUGCAUAACAUAGAUAAUGAAACAUGAAUUUCUAUAGUGAUUGCAUGACUAAUAAGUGAGAGAUUGUGUGAGGGUGAUAAUUAGUUUUAAUGGUGGUAUGAAAUAGGAUUGAAAGUGCAAUAGAAGAAAGAACUAGAAGAACUUACCUCCCUUGCGUUUUCAUCGUCAAUAGGGGCCAACACCUCUGCAGGAACAACAAUUGAUCCAACUUGCCCCAGGUUUAUGGAAGAGCUGAUGGAUUGAUUUGUGCUUGAUGAAGAUUCAUUUGUGAUAACAUGAGAUGAACGGAAUUCCAAUCCUCCAAAUGGGUCAAAGGUUUGAUGUUGCUCAUUUUCUAAUUCUAGAGGACUAUUUGGGGUUGGAUCUGGUUGAGGGGCGAUGUUUCGAAUUGCAGUUUGAAUUCGAGCGUUCAUAGUUGAUUGAAAGUUUUAAAGUGGGAUUGAUGAAAUUGGGACGAUGAAUGGGUUGAAAUUGCAGUUCAGUAUGGGGGUUGCUUCUUGUGGAUAGAUUGUGACUUCAAAUUGUAGUAUUGUGAAUGGUUGUUUCUCUUUCCUUUUUUUGUCGAUUUCUUUUUGUGUCCUUCUUCGAGAUUUUUGACAUCAAGGGUUCCUCCUCUUUUAAUUUCAUUGAUCAUAACAUAAUUUUUCCUUUUUGUAGCUUUUUUUCUUCUCAGAAUUAUUUGUUAUGAUUAAUCCAACCUUUUGCUUGUAAGUCGUUUUCGAUCCAUAAGGUCUUCUUUUGCGUUUUCCGUUCACCGUCAGGGUAACUGGUUUUUUGAGCUUUGUGUUUCUUGGUGCCUAAGAUUGCACAAGGAUAUCACUUGCUGUUGUUUGAAAAGUUUGUCUGGGCUCCAAUGAGAAGUCAGGUUCCAUCAAUGAGCCCUCAUACUGGCUUGUGUAACAGAGUGUAACAUUGUCCUUGUUUGUGAUUACUGGGUCAAGAUCUUCAAUUUGGCCCAUGGUCUCAUUUUCUGCAUUUAGAUAUUUUAUCUGGUGGAGGCCUGGCCCAACUUCUGGUUGUCCAAACAUGUGUUGUUGGUUGUUUUCGAUUGUACUCUCCUCCAUUCUGGUCGAGCUUUGACCAAAUUCGAACGUUGAGUCUUCUCGGAUUUCAGUGAUUAGCAAAGCUGGUGUCUUCUUGUUAGAAGGAUCUUUAGGAUGAACACUGUAUUAACCAUAUUUGUGAGGUUGGUCAAUACAUUAAUGAAUGAUGAUGUGUAUGUAAAUGAUAUGAACAAUAAUAAAGUAGAAAAGACAUGACACCAUUGUUUACGUGGUUCGGCAAUUGUGCCUACAUCCACGGAGAGGGAGAAAGAAGUUUAUUAUAGUAGUGGUGGUGAUACAAAAUGGGAGCUCGAUUAUGAGGAGAGCUCGAGAGAGAUGAGACCUGAGAGGUGAGGUCUCAUCAUGAGAGAUUAGGGAGGUCGUUGAUAUUGAGACCUCACCAUGAGAUAGUGGUGAGAGCAUUAGACUAUCAGACCAUGUCUGGAAUGAGUGAUUUGCCUUCAUAUUUAUAGGCUUACAAUGUAACUCCAUUCCUAGCAUUUAAUGAGGUAAUGAUGAGAGAAUAUCUUUGUAGUAAUUGGCUUUAACUUUGUAACUUGUGCCAUCAAGAGAGAGUCCAUUAGAUGAUGACAUGUGGCACCAUGAUGGAUGGUAGAGAUGGUGCCACAUGUAUGUUGUAUAUAGUACCCCUACAUAAGCCCCCUCUUUUUAGGUUGAACGGAGUUCGGGCUGAAAAGAAGUAAUCGAACCGAUCUAGCUCCCAAGAUGAAUGAAAUAUGGGGUUCUUUAACGAAGUCGAUCCGCCCCAAAUUUUGAUGAGCUUGAUCAUUGAGAUUUGCAGGACGCGAUGAAGGUCCCUUGUGGUAAUUGCAACUCGAUCAUGACUUUGUGUAUAGCGAGCUAGUUAGUUCCAGGGAGACCUGGUAGCUCGUUCAGAAGGCAUGUAGACGAGAUGGACAGCUGCAAGCAGGUCGUACUGAAGUGCGUCCUCUUGUAUGCUUGGGUGGUUGGUCUCGGCCAUGCUUGAAGGUGGUCGCGUUUGUGUGAUCGAAUUGCAUAGACCUGAUAAUGUUAGCAUGUGAAACAUUAUAAAAUUCAAUAAAAGAUUUACAUGGAAUUGUACGUCUUCCUUAUGACUUGUAUGUACUAUCUUUGUCGCCUUGUGACUGGACACUUCGAUAGAUGUGGCACUUUGGAGUGCAAAUGUAGCUCGUUUGAGAAAGAGCAUUGGUUGACCAAGUGUUUUGAGAGUUACUUGGAACCUUUUGGUGCCCGAUCUAGUGAAUGGUCGCAGCGUGGGGACCUGUUUGACAAUUCUCGGGCAUGUGGCCUUUGUGGGUCUGCAUUGCGUUGAGAGUGAAUGCGUUCGACCAGGCGUGUGGCUAGAGAAUUGUGGUUGAGGUCGUCCCGCAUACGAGUGACUCACUAGUCAAUGAGGGUGGCCAUAUUUUAUAUCAAGCAUUUCACUUGUAAAGAGUUCAGUGAAAACAAUGUGGCACAUUUGUGCAAAAAUAGCUCAUGGGGAGUGAGGUCGUGUUCAUGCGACCUGCACAUAGAGAGAGCUACAAAAAAUAUCAUUAAAAGCUAAUUGUGCUAAUAAUAAGUUAAUUUCAUUAGAUAAAGUGAGAAUAGCCCCCUGUAUGGCAUAAAUAUUGUUGAGGUCGUUGAAAGACCUGUAAUUUGAAGAGGUCGUUGGUAGACCUGGUGAGGUCCCAAUUGGAGACCUGAACAAGAAGUGAGGUCGCGACGAGACCUGAGUGUUGGGGAGGUCGCAAUGAAAGACCUGAUGAGGUCGUGAUUAAGGACCUGGGGAGGUCGCGAUUAAGGACCUGGUGAGGUCGCGACGAGACCUGAGAGGUCGUUGGUUUAGGGACCUGACAUGAAGUGAGGUCGCGUCGAGACCUGAGAGGUCGUUGGCUUAGAGACCUGAAUAAGAGGUCAGGUCGCGAUGAGACCUGAGCUCGUCUGCUUAGAGACCUGAAUAUGUGAGGAGGUCUCUGCAAGACCUGAACAUGUGGCCAUUAAGAAUGUAACUGAUGAUAUAUAAUCAUGAUCGAGUUAUGAGAAUAUAAGUUACAUAGAUGCAUAUAAUAAUCAAUUUGUGUGAGACAAAAUAGAAUGAACAGUAAGAAAUGGAGGUCUUUCGAGUGUGUAAACAUAAACAAAUAUCAUAGUGAAUUGAUACUUAUCUUGCUUUCGUCGAGUUUCACAUACAGUAAUGGUAACCGAGAGUAAACCCCCAAUUGGAAAUUGUGAUUGCAAUUCUACCAAAUAGAAUUUCUUGAACUUGAAAUCACCACUUUGAGAGCCUUACAACAAUGGUGUAAUGGUGGGGUUGGUGGGUGGAAUUCGCUUGAGAAAAUCCCAAGUCCCUGUAGUCGGCGCCAAAUGUAUUAACCAUAUUUGUGAGGUUGGUCAAUACAUUAAUGAAUGAUGAUGUGUAUGUAAAUGAUAUGAACAAUAAUAAAGUAGAAAAGACAUGACACCAUUGUUUACGUGGUUCGGCAAUUGUGCCUUCAUCCACGGAGAGGGAGAAAGAAGUUUAUUAUAGUAGUGGUGGUGAUACAAAAUGGGAGCUCGAUUAUGAGGAGAGCUCGAGAGAGAUGAGACCUGAGAGGUGAGGUCUCAUCAUGAGAGAUUAGGGAGGUCUUUGAUAUUGAGACCUCACCAUGAGAUAGUGGUGAGAGCAUUAGACUAUCAGACCAUGUCUGGAAUGAGUGAUUUGCCUUCAUAUUUAUAGGCUUACAAUGUAACUCCCAUUCCUAGCAUUUAAUGAGGUAAUGAUGAGAGAAUAUCUUUGUAAUAAUUGGCUUUAACUUUGUAACUUGUGCCAUCAAGAGAGAGUCCAUUAGAUGAUGACAUGUGGCACCAUGAUGGAUGGUAGAGAUGGUGCCACAUGUAUGUUGUAUAUAGUACCCCUACAAACACGUACCAUACACUCCAUUUGCUGGAUCAUAGACUUGUAAUGGUAAUGCAGUUGUUCGGAGGGGGCAAUAUCGACGCUCAUGACUAAACAUGAAGCACCUAGUACAGUAACAUGGAGGCUAUCAGUAUACUUUUCCUCUUGUGGAUGAGUUGAAUUCAUCUUCUUGUACCAAAGGUAAGUGGAUAUUGACCACAAUUCGAGCUAUAAAACCUUCUGCUACAGUUGGGCUAGUAUUCUUUGGUUCAAUAUAAACAACAACUCCCGCUCUUUUUGCCAUGAAAUCCGCUACCUUUGAGUCUAGAUGCUCUAAAAGUACUCCUUUGAAUUUAAUUGAAACCUCCACUGUAUUGAACGCUACAUCUUCUACCUCCUUAUCCCCAUUGAAAGGUUGCAUUAGGAUGAGGCAUCCUAGAGUUUGCAUGCGUUGCUUCUUUCAGAUCUUUGUUUGUUCAUCAUCUUUAACAAAUUUGCAGAUAAAUUUGUUUUAUGCUACUCUCACAUUAUCAAAUUCAGUAAUUUGAAAUUCUUCUUUCCAUUUCUUUCUGAUUUCUUUGAUAACAUGUUUUGGAUGAAGGUGAAUUCCCUUGAACAUGGAUAGGAGCAGAGUAUUCUCCUUUUUUUUACGGUUUUGUCGCAAGAGUUCUUCAGGAAUUUCAGUGUUGCCUUCUCAAACUUUUGUGUUUUGGAGUGCGACGGUGAUCUCUGAGAUGUCUUUGUCCAUUAGAAGGAGCAAUUUUGGGAUUUGAAUUUGGGUUUUUCUGAGUGUGUUGUGUUUGAGAGAUAUGAUAGUGAUGAUCCAAGUUUGGCUAGGUAACAAGUGUUUGGUUUGGUGACUGGGUGGGGUUUAGUAGAUUUUAGGGGUUCUGUAAGAUUUGUGUUUUAUUUUGUAUGUCAGAAGUGAUGGGUGUGAAAAGAUUUGUGAAAGAUGAAUUUAAAGUUCACAAAAAGAGAUACGAUUAAAGGGGGUUUUUGGAUCGUUUUAGAGGGAUUAAGGGGAUUUGAAGUGAUUGAUUUUGGAGGUGAGAUAAGGAUUAUAUUUCUUUACUUUUAAAUGGGGAUUUGCAUUUUAGAAAAGCUUGUAUAGAUAACGGAGGGAUGGAGAAUAACUGCAAUCUAGCUUCUGAAACGACGAUGCUGGUGGUGGUGAUAAGAUAGUCUGGGUGGUGAUGUGUCGGAGAAGCAACUUGGAUCUUUUCCUGAUCUUACACCUGUUGGGCCUAUGAAGAAUAAAAACAAACAAAAGAGUUAGUAGAUCAAGACUAGAUGAGAGAUUAAGGAUGAUUGAUGGUACAAAAAUAAAAUAAAAAUAAGAUAAUAGUUUAAAAAAGAAGAGGUGAGUAGAUAUGGGAUCUACUUAAGAAAGCUGGUAGAGCUGUUGUGCCAUGUUGAUGAUGGCUCUUUAAGCUGGUAGAGCUGUUGUGCCAUCUUGAUGAUGGCUCUUUUGAGAUACAUAUUAGAUGGAUGUGUAAGGAGCUUUGCAAAUCGUGUAGAUAUCAAAUUCGGCGGUAGAUGGAUUUCAGGACAACCUUUGAUUGGAUGUAACUUGUUCAAAUUUCCUAAAAAAAAACCUUUGAUGAUUCUAACUGUGCGUUAGCCUUGAAAACAUCUAACUAAAGAGAUCAAAAGAGUGAAGAUCAAUCAAAUUGGAUAGCGAACUGAGCUUGAAGGAAAAGUGUUAAUGAGGCGUUCUCAUAUUGUGGUUAAACUACCAAAUGAAAGUAGUUCAUAAAAGAACUUGAUUAGAAGUUUAGAACUUUAGAAUGAAUCAAAACAUGCAACUUUGUUGACUGUUUCCAAUCUGCCUAAUAGUGCUGACUGAUGUUAUAGAUGAACUUUGAUAUAUAUAUAUACUAGCAGGUGACCGUGCCUUCGGCACCUGUGGGUAGACCUCUUAGGGUUGUUGCGGGAUUGUAAAUUGUCUUAUUUGUUUUCCGGUUGAUAUGAGAAGAUAAGAAUGUUAUUAAUGGUAAAUCAUUUAGGGUUGUUGGUCUAUGGAUGUCGGUGGUUUUUUUGUUUGUUUGGUUCGGGUGAUUUUUCUGGAGUAGUUCAAAUUAUUAUUUAUUUCGAAAUUGUGUCAAUAUGUGCAAAUAUUACUAUAAGUGAUAUCAUUCAACCUUGUUUCGGUUUCAUGUUUGAUAGAAUCUCUUUUAUUGGAAUUUGGGGUGAUUUUGGUUUUGGUCACCAAUAGUUAGUACUAAUUAGGGUUCGGAGCUGGUUUUUAUUUUUAUUAGGUUUUGGCCAUCAACCGGGAACUGAACCAACCAAAAAACCUGGGUGAACCAAAAAUAUUUUUAUAAUACCUAAGUUACCCCUGAAAAAUCACGUGACAUGCACGUGAAUAACUUAAAAACGGAAAAUCAACUGAUAAGUAAUCACGUGACAUACACAUGAACAACUUAAAAACUUAAAAUCUGAUCAGAACUUAUGAGUCACGUGACCUACAUGUGAAAUAUUUAAACAGAUGACAGGUGUUUUAAUCUGGAGUGUUGAAGCAAAUCCAACGGCUAUAAAAAUAGAGCCGUUAUAGUAGCCGUUGGUCAUCUUCCCCACUGUAACCUGUAUAUAAAUAACAACUUCCAUUCCAAAACUAUGUACCUGCAACACAAAUUGCUGAUAGUCUAAAAAAUUUCUUCUCUUCUCACAAAUACUUUGCAAUUCAAGUAGUAAGCUAUGGGGGGAUGCAACCUAUGGCUUCUAAAAUAAAUACGAAUAACAACUUUUUUUCAUACCACAAGAUGAAUGCCAACUAUGUAGAUGUGAAGGGCACAUAGCUGAUGUGUGUCCACUACUAUAUACUUCAUGCAUUAUCCCAGGAUGUCAAGGCAUAAUGAAAAUGUAUACGACAUAUGAUGACGACAAAACUGAAAUGAAAUAUCUAAUGUGCCAGUAUGAUCUAUGUCCUGGGCAACUGCACCUUCCACCAACAACUACUCCAAAAUGGGAUUCCUACAAAUAUGAGGAUGAUGCAGCAAAAACAAAAGACUAAAGUGUGUAGUGUGUCGAAACUAAGAUGUAACAAAGUACUUUGUUUCCUAUUUUCUCUCAUUCUGUCCAAGCUAUGUAAUAUGUAUGGUCUAAAGUGUCGAGGGCAAUACAAUGUGACCUAUCUAGCUUCUAGUGUGCAAUGUGACCUAUCUAGCUUUUGGUUUUAAGUGUGCAAUGUACACCAAAUAUCAAAGAAUAAAUGAGCAAACAUCAUCUGAAACUGAAACAACAUUUCCAAGAUCCAAAACAACACACUAAAUUCAUUAAAAUUCGGGACCGCAAUAUAGUUAAGUUACAUGGAAUCCAAAAUAUAUUCCGAACACUCCAUUCUUCCCAAAAUAUUACAUGUCAGAGUGCUACAUAUAACUAACAUGUCAAAUAUUGUUCCCAAAACUAACUACAUGUUAAACUGCUAUUACUUAUCCAAUAUUUUCCAGACUCCCAAAAUAUUAUUCCCAUAAUACUGUGCAAUUUCCCAAAAUACUGCAGUCCCAAAAUACGAUAACAUUUUCAACCUAAAACUUACUUGUUCCAAUUGGACUUGCCUCCUCUCAUUUUAACUCCUCCACCUCUACCAGCUUGUUUCGAGCCAUCACCUUCACCUCUUUUGUUCGAGCCACCUGUACCUCUUGAGCUACGACCAACACCUCUACCUCUCUUGUUUGAGCCACCUAUACCUCCUCUUGAGCUUGAUGCACCACUAGCAUCACCAUUGCCUAAUAUCUCGUUCCUUUUAUACUUCUUCACUGCAAGUAACAAAACCAUUUAACCAUGUCAGAAUACUUACUUAACACACAAGAGUUGUAUUUUCAAUUAAUUUAAUUUACAACCAUUCAACUAUGUCAGAAUACUUACACUUCUUUUUAUAAACUUUUGUUGGAUCAUUUCUUGCAUCACAAGUUCUUCUAUUGUGCCCAACCUUUUUGCACUUACUACAUAUCAGUUUUGCCUUGGUUUUCGCUGGUUCAUCUUCACCCCCGAUUCUUUGAGUUUUGGGUCUACCUGGACCUUUUUCCCUUGGUGGGGGAAGGACCACCUUGUCAGGCUACAAAAAUAUUCAGACUGUCAGAUAUACAUACAUUGAUUUAAUUCCAAUCAAUCAAUACAGUUAACAAUACAUACAUUUCCCCAUUCUUCAACAUCAUUUAUAGGGACUAUAUAACCAUCAUAUGAUGCUUGAUAAGCACCAACAGUAAACCAAGGACUGCACCAUCUGUAAAAUCAAUAAAUAUAAACAACUUAUUACAAAAAAUUUCAAGAAAAAUAAAUCUUGUAAAAUAUUUAAGCCAAGAUUAAAUUUUACUUACUUAGCCCAUCCUUCUCUUCUUUCCCUCACAACAACAACAACAUGCACACAUGGCACUCCAGACAUCUGCCAUUCAUUGCAAGUACAAGUGUGCUUUGAAAUGUCCACUCUCCACUUCUUAUAACCAUCUCUGGUUUUCACAGAGAAAAGUUCCAAACUAAUACCUUGAACUGUAUACUUGAAAUACUUCUUUUCCAACUUCUUAAUAAGUUCAGCAACUCUAGGUACCAAUUCAUCACCAUAUAGUAAAUCCAUACUACAUAUUUUUCUGUCAUAAAAUUGCUUCGACAGCAUGUCUGUGUACUUAUCAAUUAACUUGACAAUAGUUAACUGCCUUACAUCCAACAUCCACUUGUUGAAACUUUCUGAAAAAUUAUUAUUACUAUACUCACACUUACUUGUUUUGUCAAAAAAACAUCUUGCCCAAGUUUGAACUGUCUCCUUCUCCAAAUACUCUUUAGCCUUGAUAUUCUCAUUCUUCAACAUUUCCAUAACCUUUUCGUGAUCAGUUUGCUUGAAUCUUUUGCUGCAGCCUAAGCAAGGUUCACCAAGUGCUCACCUUUGAAACCAUUGCUUUUGUAGUUGGAUAUCAUGUGCCUGAAGCAGAACCUGUGAUAAGCAUUAGGGAAUAUGUCAUGUACAGCCUUAACCAAACCUUUUUGUCUAUCUGAAAAAGGUCAAAUAGUCUGGAUUAUCACUGUCUAGAGUCCUUCUCUUCAAGUCUUUCUCUAACAACAACAAAACGUCAUACAACCUCUGAUAACACUCCCUUCUAGUGAUAUAGAUUGCAAGAGGAUACAGGCCAUUAUUUCCAUCUAAGCCAAUAGCACUAAGACACACUCCUUCAUACUUCCCCUUCAAGUGGCAGCCAUCAAGACCUACUAUUGGCCUACAUCCCUUGUUCCAUCCCUCCAAACAAGCCUUAUAAGCUACAAAGAACCCUUCAAAUUGGUUCAGUCCAUCAACAAAACACUUAACAAUUGAACCAAGAUUUGAUGUUUUUAUUUGCUUCACCAAUUCUGGACAUAAAGAAAAACUGUCUUCAUAACUUCCAUUUAUCUUUUCCUGCAUCAUAUUCCUAGCUACCCAUGCUGUCCAAUAGCUUAUAUCUGCACCAUACGAACUAUAUGUUUCAUCUUUGAUCUCUCCGGGAGUUGAGAAUGGAUGAGCUUUGAAAUAGUUUAGCAGCUUAACAGCAACCCAUGGAGCUUUAGCAUGCUUGUUCUUACUCUUCCCAAGACUAGCACAAGUGUGGACAUCAACAAAAGACUUGAGCAGAACAGUUGAGUCAUUGCCAUUUUUUUUCCUACAAAAAACCUUCCAACAGCAAGCAUCAUCUUUACACUUAAGCCUAUACCUCAAUGUGUCAUUACUCUUUUGGGCAUAGCCAAAAUGUUUUGUUAUAGCCAAAGUCUUGAAAUACUGCCUACAUUGUUUCAUAGUAGCCCAAGACAUACCUUCACUGAUAUCAGGAAUUUGAUCAUUUACUUCAAUGUCCCCCAGCUUCUCAUUGUCCUCAUCUUCAAAAACAUUAACUUGCUGUAAGUCUUGACUAUUCUUCAUUUCUGCUAAAACUUCAUCCUCUUCAUUAUCAACCAUCAUGUCACUGUCAGAAUCAGAUAAGUCAACCUCUUGUGGUUCAUAUUCUCCAUCCGUAGACAUAUACUCUUCUCCAUCAUCAUCGUCAACAGUAAUGCCAAACAAUGGCCCUGCAUGAUACUCUUCCUUAUCACUUAAUUCUUCAUCUAGCAACUCCUUCCUAGCAUUAUGUCUUAUUUCUCUAAGGUCCACAGACAACUCAAAAUCCCCACUACCAGAACAUUUUCACAGCUUACAUUACCAGUUUGUGACUCACAUUGUGGAACUGUUGAAGUUGGGAGUUGUAAAAACCUACGGACUGCUGGAUUUGUGAUUGAGAAAGGAAUUGACUCUGACCUUGAGACAGAAACUAACUCUCAGGUAGUUCACUACUAGCAUCCCAAGAACUCAGACUAUUAGGUGCAGCAAUAUUUGGUGGAGGGCAUGGGACAUUGGUUGCUGCAUUGUUUGCAAACCUAAAAGACCUUCGAGGUGAGACAAGCUUGUUGGACAUAGGAGUACUUAGUAAUUGACUUAAAGACUCUAGAUGAGAAAACCUAGGAGACCUUCUAGGUGAGACAACCUUGUCAGUGUUGGACUUCAGACUGUCAGACUCAACCCUGUCAGACUCAACCUCUUCAUUAACCUUGUCAGACCGAUCAUCAUCAAUAUCAAAAACUACUCUUUUUCCCUUAGGAUCAUCAUCAAUAUCAAAAACUACUCUUUUUCCCUUACGAUCAGCAGACUUGGUCUUAGAAACCUUAUUAGUCCUAGGAGACCUUCUCACUAGAUCUUGUGCCCCUCUUGCUACUGCAGGAACAAUUGUAGAAACAAACAUAUGAUACCUUUUAUCAGACAACCUUUUCAUUGACCACCACAUUUUCAUUAAAUGAGUAUCCGUAGACACUUGAAAUCUUUCACCACUUAAAAUAUAUGCAACAUACAAUUGUUUAUCAUCAAUAUGUGGACUACCAAUCAACUCCUUAAUGUCAUUGCUAAAGUCCAGCCACAUUAACUUAUCACCGUUAACCUUCCACAUAACACUCUUCCCACCUUUGUAAUCAGCCUUUUUCACAAACCCAGAUUUAACAAGCCCCCACAUUCCACCAUAAUGCAUAACAAUACUCCUCAUAUCAUCACCCAUUACACUGCAAAGAAAAUAAGGCAUGGACUUAGAACUAUUUCAAUAUAUCAAUGUACAUAAAAAAAGAUGGAAAAACAGAGUACAAUAUUUCAAACUUCGACGAAAAAACACCGAGCUCGUUUAAUUACAAAAAGAGUACAAUAUCAUAUCACUAUCAUCAUCACAUAUAUAAACGAAAGAAAGUACAAUAUCAUAUCAUGAUCAUCAUCACAAAUAUAAGUAAUUCAAUUGCAAGGAAAUAAAAAAAAAUAAAUAAAAAUGAUAUUGGAAACAGAGCCAACCUAAAUCAUCAAAAUAUUUCACAUCGUCAACAAAUAGAGUACAAAAUAAUAUUUUGAAAAAAAAUCUAACUGUUACUGUAUUUGAUCACAAAAAAAUAAAUUUUUUGUGAAAAUCUAACCAUUUCAAUAUAUCACAUAGCUGGGUAUACAAUGAAAUCAACCAUUACAAACCUAUAACAAACAAAGCUUCAACUUUUUUUCAAACAAAAUGACACAAAGGAAUUAUAAACCCUAAUUUGAGACAAAAAUUCAUUUUUUUAACCAAAUCACACACAAAUCUUUCCUUUUCAGCAACAUUCUAAUGUUUGAAAGAAAAACCCUAAAUUCUUUUAAACAAAAUAACCAAAAGCUUCAAUCUUUUUUGUCGAAAUUAAGAUCCAACAAAAAAAAAAUCAUCUUUUAAACAUGUAAACACAUUAUCACAUAGCCAAGCACAGAUAAACAACAAACCCCACAAAAAAAAAAAACAACCUUUUGUACAUAAAACACUUUAAUCGAAAAAAAAAAUUAAAUUUUUUUUUUGAUAAAAACCCCAACUUGAUAGAGAUUGAUGUGUGAGAGAUAUUAAUUUGAUAAAAAUAAUUGUACACAUACCUUGAACUUAAUCGAGCAAUUUCACAGUAAAUCAAGCACCAAAAAACAGAACUUCAACAAACCCCUUUUUGAACCAUGUGAGUGAAUGAACGAUUUGAGUUAAUUUAAUAAAAAUUUUGAGUUUUUUAUUGAACUUUUGGUUUGGAUGGUAAAAGAUUUGAUGUUGGAAAGUAACAGAACAAACAAACCCUUGUUUGCAGAGGAGAAGAGGAGAAGGUGAGAAGGUUCUAGAGAAAGAUAGAAGUGAGUUGGGCGGGAGUCGGGUGUUAGCCAACAAUUUUGCCGCACUUUUGCAUCGAGAUCUGUAUUUUAGUUUGAUGGAUGCACAGAUCUGAGCGAGGUAGAUCGAAUGGUCACAUGUGUGCAACGUGUCAUAACAAGCGUCCCGUUCUGAUACAAAUUGAGAACCCAAUAUUUGUGCAAUAUAACAAUAGUGAAGCAAACAAUAAAGCAGUAAACAAAUAAAGAACACACGAUAUUUUUAACGUGGUAAAACCCAAUAUGGGAAACGUCCACGGUUGUCCUUGCGACAACAAAUAAAUCCACUAGAUGAAAAGAGAUGUACAAACCUAUCAACUACCUGCACUCACUGCGAGUUGACACUUCAGGUUAUCUCUAACACCUUGACUUCACCAGAGCACCUUGAUGUACGCACAAGACACUCGACUUCUUGAUGAACACACAAGAAGACUCGAAGCCGAUCUAUGUAACAAGCUUACACCAGAGUUCUUUGAUGAACACACAAGGAUACUCGACUUCUUGAUGAACACACAAGAAGAGUCGAAGCUAAAUCACUAUUCAAUAAGGAAGAAGAAGAUGAAUGGGGAAGAAGAAGAUGAGUUCAAUCACCAAAACAACCUAAACCAAAACCUAAACAAACUCCAAAACUAGAGAUGAAUUGGACGGCCAAAGAACUAGUUUGUUCUUUGGUAGAAAACCCUAUAUAUAGUUAGGGUUUGAAACAAGAGAAAAUGGGCCGAAAUUGACAGAUUUUAUAUUGGACGUACGUACGUCGAAACAGCGUACGUACGUCCUGAGACGUAAAUAGUUCGCUGCCUACUUGGACGUACGAACGCCCUAACUAGGUACGUACGUCCAAAACACAAAAGUUUGUUGAUGCCUUACAAGACGUACGUACGCCCUAACUCGGUACGUACGUCCUAUACCAAACAUGACUUAGACAAACUUGACGCGAAGAGAAGGACUAGGGACGACGCGCGUACAACGAGGUUUUCCUAACAAUGAACUCAAGGCGAGAUAACCAUGGACAUCCAAUGUCACAAAAUUAAUGUCAAACAACCGAGUGCCGGUUUCAGUUCUCUCACCAUAACAUUGUGAACUUCAGCAUUUAAGCCACUUUAAAACAAAACUUAACAUUCGAAGCAUUUUGAUCGGAGUCUUUUGGACUUAAUUUUAUAGACAAUGGUUAGUUAAGAAUGCUUUGUGAUUGAAAGUUGUGGCUUGGAGAUAGAUGAAAAAUUUGAAAUGAAGGUCUGUGAGUUCCACUUACCUGACGAAUCCCAAAGUGCAAUCUUAAUUUGUCUUUUGAACUAGCAAUGUGCAUUAGUGCAUAAUCUGAACAGCUUUAUUAUGUACAUGAAUAAUCUGUUGAAGCCUAUCUUACAGAAACGGUUUUGCGAUCUUUAAGAUCAAUGCAUGAUGGAUAUUUGUUGCGAGAACUUUUGAAAAGAUGGAAGAAUCAUAAAGUUAAUGGUAAAGUGGAUGUCCUAAUAGGAUGCUGCCAUCGCAUACGUUAUAAUUACAAGCAUGAUUCUGAUCUCAGGUAUUCUUGUUGUUUGUGCUAAACUGCUAACUAUUUAUUUAACAAAGUUUAAUUGUUAUAAAUAUAUGUUUUACCAUUGAAAACUUGUUAUCUUAUAGGCUUUUACUAUUGCUUGUUAUAAAACUAGGUAUGACCCGUCCCUUCGGAACGCUUAUUUUUAAUUAUAUUUAAACUACUAAUUUUAUAUCCGCAUACAAAUCUAGAGGAUAAAAAUGGAAAAUUGAUAGUUAAAUUGAUUACAAUAGUUAAUUUAAAUUUAUUUUUAUACUUGUAUUGAGUAACUCAAUGAUAAUAAACACCAAACAAAAAAUUGUGAUUGGUCUAAUAUGAUUUGCAAAGUCCUCUAUAUGUACAUUAUAGAGAUAAUUAAACAUUUUUGUUACUGAAAAAUAAAUCCUAUCUUAUUAUUUAUUGUAGACAAAAAUAAAUUUUAACAGAGAUGAAAAUAAAGAACAUAUUAAAUUUUCAUAGCUUCAUCUUUAUGACUUUUGUCUUCUAAAUUGAUAUUUUCAAUUGCUUGCACGAAUCUUUUUUAUUAGUUUCACAUAUUUCAUUCUUUCUUGAAAAUAGUUGUUAGACCAUUUUUGGACUUCAUUUUUUUGUCAAGAAAAUCUUUGAGUUGAGCAUUUGACCCUAAACCAUAGCAUACGAUAUAUGUGGAUCACCUUCUUUUGAUCAUGAACCUAGCUUUACAUCAUUUGCAACGUCUUAUUGUGAUGUUUGCAUAGUCAUUUCAUUUUUUGGAUGCAUUUUAAAGGUUAUUUCCUAUUCCAUAAUUAAUGAAGGCAUGUGUAGGUGUUAUCUUUUUUGAAAAAUAUGCCUCUAAGUAUGGCUUGUACAACUGUUUGAUAGAAUAGUCCUCAUGUCAUAUUCCAUAUAUGAAGGUUGAUCAAUUUGAUCAAGCAACCAUCAUCACAUUGUACGAUAGAAUAGUCCUCAUGUCGUGGUUUAAUGAUCUAAAAGUUCGAAUAAGAAGAGGUUCAUGGAUAUCAUUCUUUGCAAGGUGUCAACCACCCUGUUGGAUUCCCUGUAUAUUUUCCAUUCCCACCUUCUGUAAUUUCCUAAACCAUGGCUAGAAGCCUAACUGAAAUUAUUGAGUUUCCCAUAAACUAUCUUCACAUUGCACUGAAAGUAUUUAUUUAAUCAUAUUCUAAUACAACUUUGUAGAGGUUGUAGAGGUUGCUCAUAUUCUAGUAUGGGCAAAAGUGAACUGGCUGACCUUUGUGCUUCAUUGUUUAUUAGCUUGAAAGAUUUCUUGGUGAAUCUGAUGGUUCAUUUAUCAUUCAGAAUAGUUGUUCUGUUGAUCUCAUAAGUUCCUUUGAAUUUCUAAAUAUCUGUUUUAUUACUUCCUGAUUUUGUGUGGCUGGAACAAAGAAGUUAGGGAAUUCAUUCAAUCAUUUGUAUAUAAAGAAAAAAUAUAUCUAACUAAUCAAUCAACAUUUACAACUGGUUUCUAUAUAUUAAAAAAAAAAAAAAAAAAAAAAUCAACAACAUUUACCAUUGGUGAAGACAUGAUUUUCAAAUUGAAACUUGGCUUUGUUAGGUGAUAAUCCAUAAUAGCUUUUCUUCGAUGGAAACAUUUAGUUCCACAAUAGUUUGGUCCUUGAUAUUUCCAACAAUUCAACACAAAAAAUAUUGUUGAAAAGUAAGUAAUUACAUUAGUGAUAGUCCUUGCUAUCACCUCAACACGCCAUUAUAUCAAUAAAACAAAAUUUGUUGUUUGCGAAAAUUUUGAUUUUUCUGGAAAUGUAUAGAUGAAAUUAAAACUAUUCACUUAUAAAUAAAAUUUGAAGCAUUGACAUAAAAGCAAAAACGAUAGUAUUAGGUUGAAAUCACUAAUAGAAUCGUUAGUCAAAUAUCAAAUUAAAAAUAGAAAUAUUAAUUAAUUGUAUAAAGCUCAUAUAGUCCAGGUUUAAGGAUGGGUUGUAUGUAUUAUUUGUAUAAUUGACUUUGGCUAUAGAUACUGAAAAUAAAAAUAAAAUUAAACACAAAAAAACUUGAAUUUCAAAUUUUUCUUUGUUGAAAAGGAGAAAAAAAAAAAACAAAGUGUUCAUUGAUGAAAAUAUGAGAGUAGAGAGGUGAUAGAGGUUUGAUGGUAAGCUAGAACCGAUUGAUAACAUGGAGAGAGAGACGUAUGAGACAGAUAGAGUUGUAUGAUAGAAUCUAUACUCUCUAUUAAAGUUAGGCAUGCCCUUAAACAAAUAUUCUCUCUCUAAAUUAUAGAAAAAUUGAUGCUCUAAUUGAAGAGAAUUUUAUUAAAAUUUAGAAUCGAAAGAUCAUUUUAGAAUUUUUACGCAAUAGUUAAUUAGUAACUCUAUUUAAGUAAUUUCACUCCAAAGUAAAUAUUGAAAGUUAACCAAUAUAAGAUAAACACUAAUUUCUAAACAUCAAAAGUUGAUCCAUAUGAAAAAACUAAUGCUUUAAUUGAAGAGAAUUUUGUUAAACCAAAAUUAAAAAUUUAUUUAUUAAAAUCACAUAACUAAAAUUUAUCUAAAAUAUGUUCAAAUAUCAAAAGAAGUAAACACUAUAACUUGGUUAAAUCAAUAUGUUUACAAACCAAAUCAAUUGAACAUCUUAUCCAAAAUAUUGGUAUUUUGUCAAAAGUUAAAAUUAAAUCUUUUGUUGAAAAAAAUAAAAAUAUAGUAACAUAAGCAAAAUAAUGUCAAGAAUUUGGAUUGUGAGCUUGGAGAUAUAAUUUACACUCCAAAUUAAAAACGUUAAUUUAUAUUAUUUAAAUUGUUAAGAAAAAUAUAUAGGUAAACAAAUACAUUAAAUAAAUUCUCAAAAAAUAUUAUAAAAUGAUAGUAAUUUAUUAUUAUUAUUAUUAUUAUUAUUAUUAUUAUUAUUAUUAUUAUUAUUAUUAUUAUUAUUAUUAUUUCACAUUACAUCUUUGAUGACUACACAAAAAAUGAGAGUACAAUUUAAAUUAGUUUGAUCUAAAACUUAAAAAUAAAACCUUUAAAUCAGGACCACAAUAAUUUUAUGGAGGAAUUAGAAAAUAAAUAUACAUAUACAUAAUAAAAUUCUAUUCUAUAAAAUAAUAUGUAAAAAUCAAAAUCAAAUUGUAACAUGUAAAUCUUACAUAUAAAAUAACACCCGUGCGUUACACGGGUUAAAUAACCAAAUCUCUAGAAUCUCAUUAAAUCCCAAUCUCUAUAAUCUCUUUUGCAAAUCUUGACCAUCCUUUGUCUCUUUACCAAGUUUUAUAAGUGCCGGUUAUAAUAUAGAUACAUCAAUUUUCGAACACAUUGUUAUUUGUGUUUUCUUCAAAAGAAAAACAAGUUUGUGACAUUAGAGAGAUUGAGGGCUAAAGUUUUGUUGAUGUGGUUUCAGAUAGGGGUGGCAAAUGGGUCGUGUCGGGUCGUAUUUGUGUCGGGUCUAUAUCGGGUCGCGGGUUAUAAUAGGUCUACACGAGAAUGACACGGUUGUUAAACAGGUCAACUCAGGUCAACCCGAGCACGACCCUUUAUCCAACGGGUUACACGAUCUGGACACAGUUGACACGCACGCCUUUCUUCUUGUCUUCUCUUCCCUCUCAACCAUUUAAGUUGAAGUGUUAAACUAAACCCAAAACAGAAAUAGCUUUACUUAAAUUGAAAAUCGUCUUAAUUAAUCCUUCUAUAACUUGGAUUAAUCUUAAAUAACAGCUUCAAUUUUCUUCUUUCAUCAUCAUCAAUGUGUAGAAUAAAGCUAAGGAUAAAUAAGCUUGCUGCUAUAAGACUUCACACGAAAGAAAGACUCGAAACACUCUAAUUUGAUUUAUUGAUAAACUGUACGAAGUACACAACUUAAAUAGAAAACAAACUUGAUCUGCAAGUACCCACAACUCUACUUAGCAGAUUUUGUGGAACACUCCCACAACUCACUAACUGAAAACAAACAUGGAUAACACACUAACCAUGACUCCUAUAGACUAGGGACUCUCCAGUUGACUAGGUAAUACUAGAUAACUAUCUACAGCCCACUAAAUAACAUACUAAAUAAUAAAUCUUAACACCCUCCCUUAAACUGAUGUCUGCAGAAAAUAGUUUAAGAACAUCAUCUUCCAAGCCCCCUCCCUUAAACAACACUCUGCGAAGAACAAACCCCAAGUAUGCUUCUGAGCUUCUCGAACACUGGUUGUUUGAGAGGUUUCGUCAUGAUAUCAACAGCUUGAUCUUCACUCUUACAGAACUUCAACUCAAUCACUCCAUCUUUGCAUAGAUCACGCAAAAAAUGGAAUCUAACAUCAAUGUGUUUACUUCUUCCGUGCAAAACUGGAUUCUUUGAAAGCUUGAUCGCUGAAAUAUUGUCACAAUAAAUUAUCGUAGAAUUGCGCUGCUGAUUUCCAAUAACUUCUAGCAUUCUUCUCAACCAAAUAGCUUGACAGGAACAAGUAGCGGCGGCUACAAAUUCAGCUUCAGUAGUGGAUAAUGUAACAAUGUUUUGCUUCUUUGAGGACCACGAAACUGCACCUGAACUCAUCAAAAAUAUAUUACCAGAGGUGCUUUUACGAUCAUCAAUAUCACCUGCAUAAUCACUAUCAGAAAACCCAUGGAAACUUGACUUUUUCCCUUUCUUAUAAAGGAUCCCAAAAUCAGUUGUACCCUUCAAGUAACGAAAAAAUCUUUUUGCUGCCCUGAGAUGCAUCUCAGUAGGAUUCUCCAUAUAUCGACUCAAGACACUUACAGAAUGCAUGAUAUCAGGCCGUGUUGAAGUUAAAUACAUCAGACUUCCAACUAUCUGCUUGAAAUGAGUGUUAUCAACUUGCUCACCAUCAGGAUCUUUGCUUAGCUUCAACCCCGUUUCAGAUGGUGUUCCGACAGGAUUGCAACACAACAUCUGAAAUCUUUCUAACACGUCCAGAACAUAUUUCUUUUGAGAAAUAAAAAUACCAACUCCUGAUUGUAUCACUUCUAUGCCAAGAAAAUAGUGCAUCAAACCCAAAUCACUCAUAUCAAACUCAUUCAUCAUUGAACUUUUAAAGUAUUCAAACAUAUGAGCAUCACUUCCAGUAUAGAUGAGAUCAUCAACAUAAAGACAUACAAUGAGCAUUUUACCUUCAUCACCAACCUUAACAUACAAAGUAUGUUCGUACGGGCAUUUCUGGAAGCCUUGCUUGACAAAGUAUGCAUCUAUGCGACUGUACCAAGCUCGUGGUGCUUGUUUCAGCCCAUAGAGUGCCUUCUUCAAUCUAAGAACUUUUUUUUCUUGUCCUUGCUGCACAUAACCUGGAGGCUGAUCUACAAACACUUGUUCUUGCAAUUCACCAUGUAAAAAAGCAGAUUUCACAUCUAAUUGAUAAAUAGGCCAAGAAUUUUGAGCAGCUAGAGAGAUUACCAAACGAAUUGUGUCUUGCCUUGCAACUGGAGCAAACACCUCUUUGUAAUCGACACCAUAUUCUUGCUUGUAUCCCUUUGCCACCAAACGAGCCUUGUGUUUGUCAACCUCGCCUUUCUGAUUUAAUUUGGUUUUAAAAACCCACUUCACACCAAUUGUUUUUUUACCCUUAGGCAGAUCAGUAAGCUCCCAUGUAUCAUUUUUCUCAAUGGACUUAAUUUCUGCGUCCAUUGCCUUCUGCCAUUUUGUGUCCUCAACUGCUUCUUUGAAAGUGAGAGGAAUAGAAUCUGCAAAUAAAGCAUAAUGAGCGAUAACAUCAUCAUCAGAGAGUUCAUCUCCACUUACAUAAUCAAUCAUCCAUGCUGGUCGCUUCCUUAGACGAUGAUUUUCUGGAGAUUGAUCAUUUGUAGGUGGCAUUUCGUCAUCGAAUUGCUGUUGCAUUUCAAUGUCGUCGCCAACUGAAAAUUUCUGCUGUUGCUUGCUGUUUUCAGACCAAUCCCACACCUCAUCUUCAUUAAAAACAACAUCUCUGCUGGUAACUAUCUUCUCUGUAGUUGGGUUGAACAAUUUAUAAGCUUUGGAAUGUUCGCUGACUCCAAGAAAGACACACUUCUCACUCUUGUCAUCGAGCUUCUUCCUUUUUUCAUCUGGAAUGCGUGCAUAUGCUAUGCAACCAAACACCUUAAAGUGAUCCACUGCUGGUUUCUUUCUACUCCAAGCUUCCUCCGGUGUCAUGUUUUUAACAGAAAAUGUAGGACAUCUGUUUAAAACAUGAAUGGACCACAAAACUGCUUCAGGCCAGAAACGUUUGGGAACUCCUCCUUUGACCAGCAAACUUCUAACCAUACUGAGGACGGUUCGAUUCUUUCUCUCGGAUACACCAUUUUGCUGAGGUGUAUAGGAAGUUGUGAGUUGUCUUCGAAUGCCUUGCUCAUCACAAAAAACUUCAAACUCCUUUGAACAAUACUCACCACCACGAUCUGUUCGAAGAGUCUUAAUCUUUCUUCCCGUUUCAUUUUCAACGAGUGCCUUGAAGCUUUUAAAUGCAUCGAAAGCUUCUGAUUUUUCCUGCAAGAAAUGCACCCAUGCUUUUCUACUAAAAUCAUCGAUAAAUGAAACAAAAUACUUCUUGUUACCAUUUGAUAUUGGAUUGAGUGGCCCACAUAUAUCUGAAUGCACCAAGUCCAACAAAUUUUGAGCUCUCAACGCCUUUCCCUUUGGAAAUUGAUCUCGGUGUUGCUUUCCAACUACACACUCUUCACAAACUUUGGAUGGGGGUGUGAUCAUGGGCAGUCCAGACACCAUACGCUUCUGAUAAAGUGUCCUCAAGCCAUUGAAAUUCAAGUGACCAUAACGAAAGUGCCACAACCAUGAAUCAUCUUCCUUAGCCAUCAAACAAGCAUGGACAGUCUUGAUAUUCAGCGGAAACAAUCUGUUUGAUGACAUUUGAACGACAGCAAUGGCACCCCUCACUGGAUCAUAUAUUUCACAUACACCUUUCUGCAAAGUUAUAAUAUAACCCUUCUCUUGCAAUUGUCCAACACUCAACAAGUUAGUACUCAAAGAAGGAACAUAAAAUACAUUCGAAAUUGUUUCAACAAAAUCAUUUUUAGUCCUAACUUGAAUAUCACCCUUUCCCAUCACAUUAACUUUUGAGUGAUCACCAAAACAAAUAGUAGUAUGAAAAUCUUCAUUUAAAUUAGUAAAAGAUGACUUACUACUGCUCAUAUGAUUGCUGGCUCCUGUGUCUACAUACCAUACUUCAGACUCGGUUCCAUAGCAUGGAAUGCCAUCAAAAGUGUCUCUUCUUCCUUGCUUUCAGCAAAAUUUGACUUCUCUCCUUUCUCCUUUUCUUUUGGCAUCUUUGUGUAGCAUUCAUUGCGAUAAUGCCCAUAAUUGCCGCAUCUGUAACACUCAAUGUUGGACUUGUCGGUUGUUCCUUUUGCGCGAUAUUGAGAGUAAGCAUCAUCUCUCUUAGAAUUUUGGUGUCUGCCUCUAUCUCGAUUACCACGACCACCUCUUCCUCUCCAUUGACCUCUACCUCGGCCUCUUCCUCUUGAGGAUUCAGCAAAGGUAGAAGCUUUCAAAGCUUGUUCUUCUGUACUGCCACGUUCUGUGAUGCCACGAUUCAAUUUUUGUUCAUGAACCACCAAAGAACUUUCUAGCUCAUCAAUCGACAUCUCCUCUGUGUUGUUUGACUCCUCAAUAGAGCAAACAAUAUAGUUAAACUUUGGAGCCAUAGAUCGCAUAAUCUUCUCUACAAUAGCACCGUCUUCGAGCAUAUCACCAUGAAUUCGCAUUUUGUUUGCAAUCCCCAUGGUUCUUGCAAAGUAGUCGUUGACAGACUCUCCAUUUUUCAUUUGAAGAGUCUCAAAGUCUCUCCGUAGUGUCUGAAGCUGUGCGCGCUUCACUCUUGCUGACCCUUGGUAUUUUUUUUUCAAAGAGUCCCAAAUGUUCUUUGAAGUAUCCUUCUGCAGUAUAGUCUCCAAAAUUGCACGAUCAAUUGCUUGAAAGAGAUAAUUUUUCACUUUCAAAUCUUUCAAUUUUUGUUCAUCAAGCCUCUUUUGUUGUUGGGCUGUCACACCAGCUCCUUCUUCUGGUACAUCAAAUCCCCUCUCCACAAGAUCCCAAUACUCUUUGGACCUUAGGAAAUUCUCCAUCAACGUGCUCCAAUGAUCGUAAUGACCAUCAAAGCGAGGAAUGGCUGGCUGGAGAAAAUUCUCUGCUGAUUUCUCUGGUGCCAUGGAUGCUUGCUACUGCAAGAACAAAAGCUACUGCUACUGGUGGGAUUAUUGACUCAGACUCAAACCUUGCGCUGAUACCAGAUGUAGAAUAAAGCUAAGGAUAAAUAAGCUUGCUGCUAUAAGACUUCACACGAGAGAAAGACUCGAAACACUCUAAUUUGAUUUAUUGAUAAACUGUACGAAGUACACAACUUAAAUAGAAAACAAACUUGAUCUGCAAGUACCCACAACUCUACUUAGCAGAUUUUGUGGAACACUCCCACAACUCACUAACUGAAAACAAACAUGGAUAACACACUAACCAUGACUCCUAUAGACUAGGGACUCUCCAGUUGACUAGGUAAUACUAGAUAACUAUCUACAGCCCACUAAAUAACAUACUAAAUAAUAAAUCUUAACACAAUGAAGAAUUCAAAUUCAAAUCAAGGUACUUGUUCAAAAACCAAUGAUCUUGCUGGUGCACUUUCACCUUACGAGAAAACAAUUUCACAAAAUCUUCGUUUAAAUCACAAUCACUUCAAUACACUUUUUUUUUUUUUUUUUUUUUUUUUGUAAAUUAUCACUUCAAUACACUUCUUUAUCCUUGUGCUGCACUGCUGCUAAAGGUGAUGGAUGGGGAUUUUGCUUUUAAGUUGGUGAAGAGUAUGAGUAUGGGGAAGUAGAAGAAUGACCGAAUGAGUAUGGUAAAAGUUUAAUUUUUAGAUCCAAUUUCUUAUGGGAGAGAUUUGUUUGUUCAAACACGAUAUGACACGACUGGGUUUACACGACACAACCCAUUUGUUGAGUGGGUGAAAGCAGGUCGACCCAUUAAUAGCACGGACCAGAUAACAGGUCAACCCGAACACAUUAAAUAACGGGUCGUGUUCGGGUCAGUUUUGCGGGUCGUGUCAAAAACUGCCACCCCUAGUUUCAGAUAUAGAGUUUUUUGUUACUUGUGCAAGUUCACAUCCUAAUGUUUACAGCCGUAGGUUAGUUUUAUGAUGGAUGGCUAAGAUAACACCACAUCUUGAAUUGGGGGGUGCCUCAAUUUUUUUUUUCAAAUGAGGGUAUCUCAAAUUUGGACUUUCAAAUGGGUAUGUCUAAGAAUCUCAUUUCUAAAAUUACCACAAAAUCAAACAAUAUAUAUAUAUAUAUAUAUUUUUUUUUUUUUGGUGAAAAAAAAAUUAAACAAUAUUAAUAAAUAUAUAUCAUCAUUUACAUUCUUCAACCUUCUAGACACAUAAAUCCAGUUAAAUUCCAAGGAGUGCGACUCAAAGCCCAAUCAAAACCAUGGAUCUUAGCUCUCUUGCUCAUCUUGGGACUUCUUGAUCUUUUUGAGGAUGGUGAUGAAGAAUCAUCAAAAGAAGAAACUGAUUCCGAAUACGAUGAAGAGUUUGAAUCUCGGUGUGAAUAUACAAACUCCAUAUCAGAGCUCCAAAACUCUAAAUUUUCGACCUGACACAACCCACUAGUAUCCAUUUCAAUUUGAUUAUCUUUGCUUCGCUGAAUUUUCUUGCUCUUCUUCCAAAACCAGAUUAAUUGUUGACCUCCUAGAUGUUUUCUUCUUCACACUAUUACUGCAUGGCUGAUUAAUGAACAUGGUGUGUGCAUGUGCAGCUGGUGGGGGACUAAGUGAGGGUAUAGAUCAAUCGACAUGCGGAUUAAUGGGUGUACCAGGUUGAGUUUCCUAUUUGAAAGGUACACCAUCAGCUUCCCUAUGAAAUAUAUGAGAAGAAAAACCCCUUUGAAGUAUCUCUAGAAAGAAGUUUGUUAAGGAAAAGCUCAUCCCCUUGAAGCAAAGAAGCAGUGUCAAGAACUCUUUUGGGUCGAGUUAUCCAAGUUUGCCAGUUGCAGACUAAGAUCUUUGCAAUCCAUUUUUGUCAGAGAGAGUAAACCGUGUAUCAAUGGUUUUAAGAACUUUGAUCGAGUUGAUUGUUGUAGUUAUUGUUGAUGAUGAAAGUGUAUGUUAGAAAGUGUUGUGUAUAUAUUGAGUUUGAGAAAGGCCAUGUUUGAAGGCCAAGUUAAUGGUAAAGUGGACUUUGGCCAGUUAUUUCCGAACAAGGUUAAAUUCCAGUAAUACCCUUUAAAAAUGAUACUGUACAAUAUAAAAUACUCUACUAGUACUCUUCCCGGCGCAUAAUAGCAACGACUUUUUCUUUCGAUUUGAAAAGGCACCUUCGAACAAUGGCUUCUACCGAGCAGAGUCCAAUCUCAGAGUAAGAUUUCACUACGCUUACAAGUUAAUAAUAAUGACAAUCUCUCUCUCUCUCUCUCUCUGUCUCUCUCUCUCUCUCUCUCUCUCUCUAUUGUGUUUCUUCUAUUGUGUUUGUCAUAGAGAUUUUGAACUCUUUUCACGCAUUUACAUAGCCGGGUUCGUUCGGACUCAGGUGAUGAAUAUGAUCGAAACUGUGUAUACCUAUUCACACAACUCGUCGUGAACCCAAUUCUAUUUGACCUUACUCGACGUAACACUACUUUUACUCGAGCUCACUUUGUGAAUUCUAUUCGACCUUACUCGACGUAACACUACUUUUACUCGAGCUCACUUCGUGACCACAAAUACAAAUCCAAUUCGACCUUAAAAGGCCUUCAUUCGGCAUAAGCCUAUUUUUAUCCGAGCUCACCCGACGUGGAACUACUGUCAUUCGACCUACAUCGUCUUUAUUCAAACACUAUACGUUUUGAUCCUCUUCAGUUACAAUAUAUUUUCAGAUCCAAAAUAUCCGCCCAUUAAUUGACCACAUCGUUGGGCAAUUAAUGAGCUAUCCGUUGUCCCAAUCACCUAUAUAUAUGAACUACGUGGGCUUGAUUCUGGGACUUGGUCACUCUCAGAUACGUAGGCAGCUAUCUAAAUCAGAUAGUUCAGCCACUUUCAUAACUUCAUCUCCUCCUCCUCAAUUUUCCGAUCAUCUUCUCCGACCUGCCUAAACCCAAAUUUACUUACAUUUACAUUGGAGCCGACUGAUUCGUGAACGAAUAAUAACCUGACAACCGACCAUGGCAACAAUCACUAAUGAGCAGUUUGAGCAACUCCAGAAGCAAAUGGCCGACCCACAAGAGCAGAUCAACAGACUGGUGGCUGAAAACAUCCACCUUAAGAGCACCGCCACCACCACUAAUGGCACACCGCUCAACGGAGUUGCUACCAAUAUGCUCAACACUGAAGAAGUCACAACAACCGUCAACAACCCUGCCCUACCCACCUCCAGUAAUACCACCGCUCCAACCAUGGCUGAUCUUCAAGCUGCUCAUGACAGAAUCCUCCAACUGUCAGACAAACUCGACAAGAAUCACCAAGACUCACUCAAGGCCAAUACAGCACAGAAGGUAGCAUCAACAACCCUUGAACGUUACAAAAUCGAACCUCUUCAUGAUGACCUACUACAACAGGAACCACCACCAAACUUCAUACCUCCAAAGUUCACCACUUACGACGGAAGUGGAGACCCAAUGGACCACGUCCUACAGUUCAAGACAAGCAUGGCCCUAUGGCCAAAGUACAAGGAUAUUCUCUGCCGAUUGUUUUCUGCAUCACUCCGUGGGAGUGCAAUAGAUUGGUAUCAUCGACUGGCAGAAAGGUCCAUUACCUCGUAUGACCAACUGGAGUCACUUUUUGUCACCCAAUAUAUCCACAACAAGAGGAGAAGAAUCGAGGUUACUGCCCUUUUUCGUAUCAAGCAGGACGAAACUGAGACAACAAAGAAAUUUAUGUCAAGAUUCAAAAAGGAAUGCCUGCGAGCCGAGAAUCCGAAUGAAUAUUCAUGUCUCUUGGCCUUCAUCUCUGCUGUCAACCCCAAUACGGCACUAGGAAAGAAUAUUAUCCUAGACGCCCCUGCAACACUGGAAGACUUGUAUGUACGCGCUGACAAGUAUAUCAAACUGGAAGAAGCCCUCACAAAAUCCAAAGAACGAGUGGCUGUUGUCCAAACAACAGAGUUCACUUACUCCAAACCAAAGACGAAUCGAUCGGAAUACAAAGGAAAGGCCACAUCCACUGUCAAAUCCAAAUUCCCAAAUCCCUUCAAGUGCUCAUACAAUCAACUCUUUGACCUCAUCAAAGAUGAGGAUUACUUCCAGCCUCAAGUUCACGACCUCGAACCAAUUGAAGGAAAACCGUACUGUAAGUUACAUAAGUGUCGCCACCAUCUUACUGAAGAUUGCCGUAUUCUACGAGCUUACUGUCACAAGCUUAAGGAGGAGGGUCACCUCGAUGACUUCCUCUUCGAAAAUGAGCCCGACCUCCGCAACAAACUAGAGGCCAAACGACAAAAGACUUCAACAGAGAAAGGUAAAAAGCCUAAAGGAACCAUCAAUAUGAUCAUGGAUGCUCGACCUCCCGAAUGGUCAGCUCAUUCUAAGAAGCAGAAGAUUCAUCACAUCCACCAUACCUUCCACUUGACUCACAAAGCGAUUAUGGCUAAACAAGUCACAGGUACCAAUGCUCUGGUCUUCUCUGACUUCGACCUCAAAAAAGUAUGUCUCCCUCACAACGACGCAUUGGUCGUCCAUAUCAACAUUGGGGGAUGGAUAAUGAAAAAAAUGCUUAUCGACCCCGGAGGUUCUUGUGACGUAAUAUUUAACAAGGCAUACAAUCAGAUGCAAAUGCCCGACUCGGUCCUCCAAAAACCGCAAGUCACCCUUUUUGCAUUUAACUCGACCGAAACUGAGGCAAAAGGUGAAAUUUGCCUUCCUGUGGCAACUGGUGAAAAUGAAGACGAAGUGACUGUGUAUUGCACCUUUUUCGUCGUUGAUGUCCCUGCUCAGUUCAAUGCAAUUCUCGGACGAAAAUGGAUUCAUAAAAUGAAAGCAAUACCAUCGACAUAUCACCAGGUCAUCAAAUUUCCUGGCCCCAGAGGCAUCAUGGAAUUACGAGGUGACCAGAUCGAAGCACAUGGAUGCCAUGCCAUACCCGAGGUCAUCCCACUCCCUAAUAAAGUGGAUACCCCCAUAACAGUGGCGAGCUCAUCUAAGCCCACUGUCAAUAUGAUCUCUGCAAUCUGCAAUACAGUCGAAGAAUCUACUCAACCCACUGGGGAUGAGAUCUCACAAGCUCAAAACGGCAAGGAAAUUGUUCAUCCAUCUGACCCACCUGUCAUUGAACAAGGUGAAAAGGUCAACAUAGGAUCGGAUGACGAUCCAAAAUAUGUCUAUGUCGGGGCUAACUUGGACCCCAUUGUAAAACAACAACUUAUUGCUACUCUCAAAAUGAAUAAAAAUGUUUUCGCUUUUGCUUAUACCGACAUGCCAGGGAUCAAUCCCACUAUUGCUUGUCACAGGUUAAAUGUAGAUACCAACAAAAAGGUUGUGAAACAAAAAACUCGCAAACUAGCAGCUCAUCUCGCCAAUGCAGUUAAUUCAGAGAUACAAAAGUUAAAAGAUGCAAAAUUCAUUCGUGAGGUCGCAUACCCUGACUGGCUCUCUAAUAUUGUCGCAGUCAUAAAACCUAACGGUAAAGUCAGAGUAUGUAUCGACUUCACGGACCUUAACAAAGCUUGCCCAAAAGAUAGCUUUCCUCUCCCUCGAAUAGAUAAGCUCGUUGACUCAACAGCAAGUCACGAACUCAUUUCCUUAAUGGAUGGCUAUUCAGGAUACAAUCAAAUAAAACUAGCAGACGAAGAUCAAGAGAAAACUGCGUUCAUCACUGAGCAAGGUACCUUUUGUUACACAGUCAUGCCAUUUGGACUAAGAAAUGCAGGAGCCACGUAUCAGCAACUUGCAACCAAAAUGUUCCACGAUAUGAUUGGUAACACAAUGGAAGUUUACGUAGAUGAUAUGAUUGUCAAAAGUAAACACAAAGCUACCCAUGUCACCGACCUCGAAAAAACAUUCCUCGGCCUUCAUGAGUACAACAUGAAACUCAACCCGGAAAAAUGUUUGUUCGGCGUCGCAUCUGGAAAAUUCUUGGGUUACCUCAUCACACAAAGGGGUAUCGAAGCCAACCCAGAAAAAAUCAAAGCUAUACUUGAGAUGCCGAGCCCAAAAACCAAGAAACAAAUUCAAAAGCUUAAACGGCAUGAUAGCAGCCUUAAACAGGUUCAUAGCCCGGGCAUCAGACAAACAACGCUCACUACUUCAACUACUAAAGAAAGGGUCAACUUAUAACUGGACACCUGAAUGCCAGCAAGCAUUCGACGAACUCAAGUUAUACUUGGCUACUCCACCAGUUAUCACGGUACCCCAAGACGGCGACGUACUGGGGCUCUACCUCGGCACGUCAGAACAUGCAAUUAGUGGAGUAUUGUUCCGAGACGAACGAGGUAUAGAAAGACCAAUAUACUUCAUCAGUAAGACAUUGCUGUCUUCCGAAGCUCGGUAUUCAAGCCUCGAGAAGGUAGGUUUAGCUUUACUCUUCGCCUCACGAAAGUUGAAGCUCUACUUCCAAUCACACAAAAUAAGAGUCAUCACAGAUGCACCUCUUCGGCAAGUACUGGAAAACAGAAACAAAUCUACACGAAUGGUAAAAUGGGCCCAAGAACUCGGAGACCACGAGCUCAUUUUCACUCCGCGAAGUAGCAGAAAAGGGCAAAUCGUGGCCGACCUCCUGGUCGAUUACGCCAUCGACGACAACUCAUGGAUACCCGAUAACGAGGUCAUUGACCAACCAAUAACAAAGACUCCAAUAUGGAAACUCUACGUCGAUGGCUCCAAAAACUUCAAUGGCUCAGGAGUGGGAGCCACACUAAUCUCACCGGACGACGCCAUCAUAGAAAAGUCAGUCCGAUUAAAUUUCACCUCAAGCAACAAUGAUACAGAAUACGAGGCACUCCUCACUGGCAUACAAAUAGCCAUAACUUUACAGGUAAAAGAAUUGCGAAUCCUAAGUGACCCACAAUUGGUAGUUAGCCAAAUCCUCGGCGACUACGAAACAAGGGAAAAGACCCUGAAGCCAUACUUGGAGCAUACCAAAAAAUUAUUAAGUUACUUCAACAAAUGGGAAAUUCAACAUGUCCCAAGAGAUGACAACCGCCAUGCCGAUAGCUUGGCAUAUCUAGCCUCACAAAUCGACACCGAGUCACCUCGAACAAUACAAAUUGACAUACAGUCAGCUCCGGCAUAUGAGGCACAGAUACAUCAGGUAAACGAAGUUUCAGACUUCAUAGACAUCCCACCAAGUGAUAUAGAAAAUUCGUGGAUGGGACCAAUCAUCAAUUACUUAAAGGGAACAUACCCAGAUGAUGAUUUCGAACUACGUAAACUCGAACGAAAAGCUAAAAGCUACAUCUUACUCGACAAAAGACUCUACCAAAAGUCAACUCGAGGGCCAUAUCUGCUGUGCCUCCCACUAAAACAAGCGCACACAAUUCUCGCUGAGAUCCACCAUGGAGAAUGUGGAAACCAUGCGGGGGCUAGGUCUUUAGCCCAAAAAGCAAGAAAUCAAGGUUACUUUUGGCCAUACAUGCAGUCAGACUCAGACAAAUUCGUCCAACACUGUGACAAGUACCAAAGAUUUGCACCAUUAAUUCACCAGCCAACUCGAGAACUCAAGACAAUCUCAAGCCCAUGGCCUUUUGCAAUUUGGGGGCUCGAUAUUGUGGGCCCUAUCUUGAAAGAUAAAUCCAAAAAACGAUUCUUACUUGUGGCAACCGACUACUUCACUAAAUGGGUCGAAGCAAUACCCCUACCGCGCAUACGCCAACAAGAUGUUAAAAACUUCAUCUGGAAAUUCAUUAUCACCCGAUUCGGACUACCACAUACUCUAGUCACCGACAAUGGUCAACAAUUCUGUGGAACUGUAAUCGAGGAAUUCUACCUCGAUUGGAGAAUCAACCACGCACUCUCAACACCUCGCUACGCUCAAAGCAACGGUCAGGCUGAAGCCACCAACAAGACCAUCAUGAAUAAUCUGAAGAAAAAACUUGAAGCACACAAAGAGAAAUGGAUAGAGGAACUCGAUAAGGUACUAUGGGCUUACAGAACGACACCGCGCACAUCUACAGGAAUGUCCCCAUUUGCCUUGUGUUAUGGCACAGAAGCUAUCAUACCAACUGAGCUAAACUUCCUCACUACUCGAUCUGAGCUCGUACAAUCCAAGGAAAAUGAAGAUUUAUGGGCCCACGAGGUCGACAUGCUCGAAGAAAAACGAAACCAAACCAUAAUUACCACUGCUCGUUACCAACAAGUUUUAAAAAGGAGCUAUAACCAAAAGGUCCGAUCAAGGGAAUUUCAAAGUGAAGACCUCGUCCUCAGACAAGUGUUUUCCAAUACUAAGAAGCCUGGACGGAAAGCUAAAUCCUAAUGGGGAAGGACCAUACAUUAUCAAAAACAACUUAGGAAAUGGCGCAUACACACUCAUUGAUGCCGAAGGGGAACAUGUGCCUCGACCUUGGAACUCCAAAUUUCUAAAAAUCUAUCUACCCUGAUGACCUUCAAGGGUUGACAUCUUUCAUUUCCUCACAGCAAGGUUAAGCCAUAAAACCACAAGGGAUUUAUACUACAAAACAAUCUAUUUUGAGCUACAUUGAACAACAAAUUGUAAUGGCAGCCAAGCAUUUUCCAUUCAGCAUACACUUCUUCAAAGGUAAAGUCAAAAUAGUUGGAUUACAAAAUAUAACGGACGUAGGGCCAACCGAAGUCGGAAUUCCCUACUUAUGUUUUCAAACACCAAAAGAAACCUCACCACUCUCAACAGAAUUACAAAUGAAACAAUAACUAUCAAGUUUGCUCCUCAGGGAGAUCUUGGGUCGCUGCACCAGCAUUCUCUUCAGCUCGGGGAGAGGGUUCCUUGUCAGCCUCCACAUUCGAAGGAGCAGCUUCGGCGUUAUUCUCCUCUUCCAUGUCGUGACGAAAAUGCUCAAGAGCGAAAACUUUGAUGGCCUCCCUAUCUGCAGAGGCAUCAAAGUUUUCUACCAAUGACGCAAGCUGAGACUCACGACGAUGGCACCUCUCCUCCCAGGCAUAAGAUAUCUGCCGCCACCCCGAGAUACUCUCGAUAGACUUCUGGGCAUCAGCUUCCCAGCUCGCAUUCACCCCGGCAGGCUGACCUUGAAGAGUUAUCACAAACCUUUGGGCCUCAUCCAGAUUGGCACCGUAUUCGGCACACUCUUUCUGGGAAGCAUCGAGUUUGCCCUUCAGACUCUGGACUUCAGCUCGCAAUGCCUUGUUCUCGACAUUGGCCUUUUGCAGAGCCUCAGCUUUCUUCCUUGCAUUCUCGAGCUUCGUAAUCCACUUGUUAUGGAUCACAUUCAUCUGACAUACAGCAAGGGAAGCAUCAAAAAACCAAGCAAAUGACAGGUAAAAGGAUAAACCAAAUCAUAACUUGGUAAGUAAAACUCACCCUAUACGCGCAAGACGCAAAUUCUUGGGAAUCCUCCACAAGAGAUCGGGGCUGGAUCUUCUUUGCAUCCUCAAAGAGAAAACAGUUCUCCAUCAACGAAAGGCUCAUCUCUUUGUCAUCCCAAGCCGAGUCAUCUGGCUUCACAUAAGCCUCACGGCAAGGGAAUACCGGCGAAAACCGAUUCGCCUCACCGGCAGAAAAAUCUUCAGUCACGUCGAUAGCCGAAGGCUUAGUCGACCUAGAGGAAGGAACUUGUGCUUUUCCUUUCCCCUUAUCCUGAGCUGGUUUAUCGACCCCCGAUGUGGUCACAGGCUCAGAUGCCCUAGCUGGGGCUUUCCUCUUCUUAGACUGAGGAGCAGGAUCGAUUGACCUCGAGCCGAAAAAGUCACUCAGAUUCGGCGCAUUUGGAACCUUACUCGCCAG
RNAcentral lists this long non-coding RNA (49275 nucleotides) under Aquilegia coerulea. RNAcentral describes it as "long non-coding RNA (ACOE_LNC002223)". Lineage: Eukaryota; Viridiplantae; Streptophyta; Magnoliopsida; Ranunculales; Ranunculaceae. The record is from RNAcentral.